Molecule: long non-coding RNA, 60879 nt
Filed under: Gossypium barbadense (sea-island cotton)
Lineage: Eukaryota; Viridiplantae; Streptophyta; Magnoliopsida; Malvales; Malvaceae
Description: long non-coding RNA (GBAR_LNC016635)
Source: RNAcentral
GUUGGUUAAGUUACCUAUUUCCAUAGGAAUAAUGCCUUGAAGCUCACACUCUGUGGCAUGAAAGUAUUGAAGGGAUUUUGAAAGGUUCCCGAAAUAAGUAGGAAGAACGCCACUCAAUGGAUUUCCUGAAACAUCUAUUAUGCUCAAAUUCCUACAAUUCGUCAAAGAAGAAAGAAAGCUCCACUCAUGAUCAGUAGCAGAUCCUGUGAUCAAAUUAUUGUCAUAGAUUUGGAGCCAUACAAGUUGUCUUAAGCUGCCAAGCGUUUUAGGGAUUGGGCCAGAGAAUGAGUUAUCUCCCAAGUCUAGUUCCUUAAGCAUGGAAGCAUUGGAGAUAGAGUUGGGAAUGUUUCCGCUAAGUUUAUUUCCCCACAGUAAAAGAAUCUGAAGCUUUGGAGCAUUGGUAAUGGGUGGUAAAUUACCUGUAAAAUAGCAUCUUUUAGAAAACAUUCACAAAAUAUAUAAUACAUUAAAAUAAAAACUUUAAAUCAAUUAAGAAUAAAAUUUUGGCAUGGAAAAAUGUGAUGAAAUCAAUUAGAAAGUUGAGACAUAAUAAGAAGUUUUGAGUAGUAAUUAGUCCUUGUGAUUUGUAUAGACAAAACAUAUAAUACACUGAUAAUUUUUUUAAAAUAUUGUAAAACCUGAAAUAAAAUAAAAAAUAAAAGUUUGGCACGAGAAUGUGGCAUCUAAUCAUUCUUAAAAAUAAGACUAACAUUAAAUAAUAAUUAGUUAUGAUUUGAGAAACAAAAAUGUUAAAGAUGUAAACUGGUAUGAUUUUUAUCUAUUGGGUUAAUUAUUUAUUUUUAUUAAAUUAUAUAUAGUGUAAAAUUUAAAGAUUAUUAUUUGCUCAAAAUUUUUGUAUUUUAGGAUUUUAGGAUCGCAUUUAAUUCAAUUGUAUUUAAGACCUCAUGAAUUUAUUCUAUAAUUUGAGUCUUUUCAACCUUUUGGGAAAUAAUAAAACAUCGACAUUAAACUUGUUGUUGAUGCAUUCAAUUUGAUUUUUUGAGGGGUCAUUGGAGUUAUAUGUGAAUUUAGCAUUGAUUGACUUUUUUAGAAUUAAUCUUUUAUACCAAUUUAAUAACAUCGACAUGUUUUUGGGUAGGGUCGAGCAAAACCCAAUUAAAACCGAUGAAAUUGGUUUAGUUAACUCGGUCAAGUCCAUUAGAUGGAUAAAAUCAAUUUUAAAAUCAGUUAUUAUGGAUUAAGGUAAUUAAUUAUCGAGUAAUGAAAUACAUAAUCAAAUCAAUUGAUUUUGUUAGAAACUAAAAGAAAGUGGGAUAAGCUGAAAACUGAUUGCCCUUUUUUAGAAUUAAGGAAUCAGCCUUUUACAUGUUAGAUAAUAUGAACACCCCAUAUAUAAUAAGAAAAAUUAUGUACGAUUAUUUAUUAUCAUAAAUGGUUAGUUUAAAUUUAAAGUAAUCUAAUAUGUGUGUUGAACUUCAACUAUUACAUAAAGUAUAAGCUAAAUAUGUAUAAAUAUUCUAGAAACCAUUUCUAACUGAUGAUAGGCUAAUUUGAAAUUAAGAUUAAUAUAUAAAAACUAGAUAGUAGGGUUAUAGUCCUCAAACUACACCUAAUUUAAUAAAAUCUAUAGUUUUUAUAGCCUUAAACAUUUAUAGAUUUUGUUAAUUUGGUCCUUACUCUUUAAAAUUACAUAAAAAUUGCAAAAAUAUUUUAGAAAUACAAUUUUUUCGUAUUUUUAAUAACAUUUAUAGUUUUUUUUUUGGUUUGGUAACUUAUCAACUCGACUCUUAAUUGUAACCAACUUUUCUGAUUUUUUCGUACCCUUAACCUAAGUCCCGUUACAACUUUCUAAAGACCUCUUGAUUGGUGUAUCAUCUCGAUUUGUUCUUAUAGUGGUGGGGAUUUGGUUUUCAAGCAAGCCUAUGCUAAUCACAUUUUUCGUUCAACUAUUGAGCACACAGUACUUGAACCUUAAACACUUUGAGUGCUUUGAGUGAAUCUUAGUUAGGGUAUUGAUUAUUGUUGAGUUUGAAUUUUAGGUAAUUAUUGAGAUGGAGGAGAUGCCUAUUUUUUUGUGCUUUACAAAUUUCUGCUUAGAUUGCUUUUAUUCUUUAGUUUCAUGCUAGUUUCAAUUUCCAGUGCAUGAUUAUCUAUAGAUUAUUCAUAAGGCAUUGUCGGUGAAAACAAUAAAUUGAGGGAGAUUAACUUGAAAUAAAUUGAGGGAUAUUAACUUGAAUAAAGGUUGAGAAUUUUGCUUAAGGACAAACAAAUGCUUAAGUGUGGGGAUAUUUGAUAAGUGCUAAAAUUGAUAUGUUUUAACAUCAUUCUUAAUGUGUUUUUGGUUGAUUAUUCGAUGUUAAUGAUGCUCCUAAUCCUUACAAUUCGUGUUUUUAUGCUUAAUAGAACAUUUGGGAGGAAAAUGAGCUAAAAAUGAACGAAAACCUGAAAAUGGGGGCAAACUAUAGGACAUGGGCUGACCUAUUCCUCAUGACCGUAUGACUCACACGAUCAUGUGGUAGGUUGUGUCGAUUUCGUAGAUUUGCACUCUGAACUGUAAAAAAAGAAAAUUUUAGAUUUUUUGAGCAUUUUAAUACGUAUAUAUGAAAAAAAUAAGAAGAUAGGAGAGAACCUUCCUAGAAUAUUUAAGAAAACAACUCCAAAGACACUAUUGAAGUCGACUCUGAAGCAAAUUUUCCUCAAGAUUGAAGAUUCCCAGUUGGUUUCUUAAGAGAUUAUCAUGAGUUUCUUUAUUUCUUCUGGUUAUACUGCCCUUUGGAUGUUUUUAUUUUUAAGCAUGAACUAAUUUUCUAAAUACCGAAUUAGAGAGAUGAACCCUAUGAUAGAUUGUGACACCCCAAACCCAACCGGAUAGACCCGCCCGAAUUCAAAGCAUUUCAUUAGCCACCUAAGUGACUCUCCAGCUAACGACCACCCAAGACACACCUCGACCUUAUAACACCUCAAUCUUAUCUAAUUACUAGUUAUUUAUUAAUGUAGAAGUAAAUUAAUAUGAGCCAAUUUUAAACUUUUUCUAGGUAAUUUAACCUAAAGGCAAUUUUGUCAUUUUACCACCUAAUGUAAAACUAACCCGAUUUUAGAUCUAAGUGUUUACUAACCUUCUUUUAGUCAAAUUAUACAAGCCUAAAAUUUUCAGCUUAAUUUGAGUCCGUUUACUAUGUCUAAUUCAAGUUUUAUUAAUAAGGACUCAAUUGUAACUUAAACAAAUUAAAAUACCAAUUUAAAGAGACAAAAAUUCAAAACUCCAAAACCCACACGGGCAUGUGGGUAAGUGACAAGGGCUUGUGGGAUUGAAAAAUAUGAAAUAAAUUAAUCCACUCAAUUUUCCAACAACCAUGCUAUACUACCAAACCAAAAAAACACUUGAAGUUUUGAAUAGGGGCGAAUCUAAAAAAAAUUAGAAGAAUUAGAAUUAAAUUAUAAAAUUUUGAGAAGUUAAAAUAUAAUUUUAUCAUGUAUUAAUUUAUUGUUUUUUAAAGGGUCCUAAUAUAAUUUUUUUCCCAUUUUGGUUGGGCCAAUACCCCUGCCUGCCUCUUUAAAUUUGCUCCAACACUAAACCCAAUAUUCGAUUUGGAUUAACAACAACAUAUAGGUUAGUAUUUGUGGGAGUUUGACGAAUAAAAAUUCCUUUUUUAGAUGUUUAAAUUAUAAAUUUUUGAAAGAUUAAAAUAAAUUUGUAUUUUUUUAUUAACAAAAUAUAAAAGAAAAAAAAAUAUGUUUAGACAAGCCAAGAGAACUUUGGGAUCAUACAGGUGAUUUUGAGAUGUUAAUGGUUAUUUUGGUGGACAGCGUAAAAAAGAAACAAAUGAUUCAUUAUAUAUAAUAUAAUUAUGAAUUUCAAGCCAUAUAUUGUAUGUUUCAUCCAUAAAAAUUUCAUGGGAGGUCCAAAGGUAAUUAAAUGACUUGUAGGCUUGCUGAAUUUCUUUGAAAGGCCCAAAGGCAAUUUAACAUUCACAAAAUAAUCUCUAAAUACUGUAAAGACAAAUCAAAUCCACAGUAGCAUUAGAGUUGAUUAAGCUAAGCAUUGGCAAAUAUUACUUUGAUUUUGCAUGCAAAAUUGGCAAAACCCCCUCUUACAUUAGAAAAACAACAUAAUCCAUGAAACAUUGAUGGCUCAAUACAAAUUUCAUCGAGAAAAAAGUCUCUUUGUUUUGGAGAACAUGAUAGUAAAGAUGUGGAGUUUCGUUCUUCUAAUUGGCCUCCUUUAGUUUUCCUUGAUCAACAACAAUUAGCCAAAAACACAGUUAGAUUAGAUUAUGAAUGAUACUUUCAACUAUGACAAUAUUAAAUACAAAACACUCUAAAUAAAUGGAAAGUAGCAAAUUAAGACCAUUGUGUUAUACUUGUCUCUGAAUUGAAAGAUUUAGAAGAAAAUAAAGAGAAAGAGUUAGAAAAUACUUGAAAACAGAUAAAACUUAUAUGUCAUUUAAAAUAAAAAAAAUUUCUAUUUAAGCCAUUUAAAAUUUUUAAGAUUUUUUAAAUUUUAAAAUGAUAAAGGUAAAACUAUAUUUUGGUACCCAAAAAUGAUAAAACUUUGAUUUAAUUCUUUAGAAAUUAUAAAAAUAUAGGCUAUUAAAAUGGUGAAAUUAUAUUUUUACUAUAUUAAAAAUUACAAUUUAAUUUCACUUGCUAAAAGGAUUUACUGGCUUCGCCCCUAAUAAAAUCUUUGGCAAAAGAUUAAAAUAAAAUUAUACCGUGAAUGGAAAAAGAAACUUAAGAAAACCCAAUCUCACAAAGAAAAUAACUUGUCCAAAAGCUACCAUAAACCGUAAUUCAUGCGAAGGCUUGUUGCUCAUUUUAUUGGUUUCCAUUUUGAUUUUGCAAAAGAAGUUUGAAUUUUGAAGAGAGCAAAAGAAAAAAAUAGUUUAUUAAUUUUUUACGAAUACCGACAUAUUAUAUACAUGAUUAAAAUUCCAGAAUAGAUUAAAAAUGUUGAAUUAAAGAUAAAAUUAAGUAUGAAUUAAGAACCACAAGUGUACUCAUUACUCACCAUCUCUGUUAAAAAUGUUGUUUAGCAACCUGUGUUUGAUUUUCUUCAGCUCAACCACAACAUCUUUCAUAUCUUUUCUUUCUUCUGGUAACUCAGCUGAACAAUUCAAAGCCAAUUCCAUGAUAGAUGAAAUACAAUUUGCUUUAACAACAAUGUACUCAUCCUCUCUUCUUAGUAAAUCAACAUCUGCAAUUUCUAUUGCUCCUUUAGGCAAUGAACUUUCCAUCCAAUGCCUUACAGUCUCUUCUUCAACAAAAACAUUAUCAGUUGGCUUUUUCUUUGUGAAAGUUUCUAUAAGGACGAUCCCAUAACUAUAGACGUCAGAUUUUAUAGAAACAAUUCCUGCUGAUCCAAAUUCUGCAUUUCAAGUAUCAUUAGAACAUCAUUCACCCUCAAUUAUUUCUAAAAUGCUUAUUCAAAUAUAUAUCCGCAUACACAAGAAACAAAAAUAUAAAAUGCAAAUUAGGAAAAUAAUCGUACAAAAACAAAAAAGAAUUCACCUGGUGCCAUAUACCCGAUAGUUGCAAGAGUCAUGGUUUGCUUCAUUACUUCACCUUCUCCCAACAAUUUGGCAACGCCAAAAUCUCCAACAUGUGCAACCAUGUCUUCAUCUAGUAAAAUAUUGCUUGGUUUUAUGUCACAAUGAAUUAUAGGUGUUGGAUGUCCAUUGUGGAGGUGUUCUAUAGCUACCGCAACAUCUAUCAUUAUGUCGACCCUUUGUAUGAUAUCAAGGAAACAAUUUUCAGAAUGUAACCAUUUCUCAAGGUUUCCAUUAGACAUGUAAUCAAGCACCAAGGCUUUGAAGUCAACACUUGAGCAGCAAGUAAUGACCUUCACAAUAUUACGAUGAACUAUAUUAAGCAUAACAUCACAUUCAAUGUCAAAACUCCUAAAUGCUCCCUCUGUUUGCAAAUUGAAAACUUUUAUUGCAACUUCCAUUCCAUCUGAAAGCCUCCCUUUAUAUACAUAUCCAAAACUCCCUGAACCAAGCAUAUUGCUUUCCUCAAAUCCAUUAGUUGCUCGUGAAAGUUCAGCAUGUGAAAUUCUUCUCGGUGUCUUCAAAGACAACAAAUCAUCUUUAACUGGUAGAGCUGUACUCCUUUGGCAUCUUCUAUACAUAAUAGUUAAGACUAUUAGUACUAGGACAAUACCAAUUGUUGGUAAACCAUACCUAAAAGCAUGUAAUAUAAUCAUUUGGGAGUUUUUGUGGAUGUCAUUUUUGCAAGGUGGGACUAGCAAUCUAGGUGGACCACAAAAUGCACAAUUAUUCAUGAAUGAUGUGCUAGAAAAGUUUGAAAAACAUCUUUUGCUGGGAAUUUCCCCUUCAAGUCUAUUGAAAGACACAUUAAAAUACUUUAGAUAUAAAAGCUUUUCCAAAGAUUUGGGAAUGACUCCAGAGAGAUUGUUAUUGCAUAAAUCCAAGAAUUCCAAACUAAUCAACCCAUCAAAUGAUUCAGGGAUAUGACCAUGUAGUAUAUUAUUUGAUAAAUCUAAUGAAACCAAAGUUUGAAGACCCCCAAAUGUGGAUAAGAUAUCGCCCAUGAGAAGAUUCCUUGAUAAAUUUAGUCUCAGUAGACUCCUAAAGUUUCCAACAUCAAUAGCAUGUGAAUUGUGAAGAUGGUUUGAUGAUAAAUCUAUUUCUAAGAUAUCUUUAAGAUUCCACAAAGUUGAGGGUAUUGUAGAACUCAAUUUGUUGGAAUCUAACCAAAGAUAUCUCAAAGCAGAAAUAUUACCCAAACAAGAGGGUAUGGGUCCAUGCAGCUUAUUCAACCCUAAAUACAUCUUGUAUAGUCUCUCCAAACCACAGAGGCUUUCUGGGAUAGGCCCUUCUAAUUUAUUAGAGGAAAGAUCUAGACCUUGCAGAUUCCGCAGUCCUCCUAUUGAUGCUGGAAUGAAUCCACUUAAUUUAUUAUGGUCAAGUUCUAAAACCAAUAAGUUGGUUAAGUUACCUAUUUCCAUAGGAAUAAUGCCUUGAAGCUCACAAUUAUAGGCAUGAAAGGAUUGAAGGGAUUUUGAAAGGUUCCCAAUAUAAGUAGGAAGAACGCCACUCAAUGGAUUUCCUGAAACACCUAUUUUUCUCAAAUUCCUACAAUUCGUCAAAGAAGAAAGAAAGCUCCACUCAUGAUCAGUAGCAGAUCCUGUGAUCAAAUUAUUGUCAGUGAUUUUGAGCACUUCAAGGUGUUUUAAGCUGCCAAGCAUUUUAGGGAUUGGGCCAGAGAAUGAGUUAUCUUCCAAGUCUAGUUUCUUAAGCAUGGAAGCAUUGGAGAUAGAGUAAGGAAUGUUUCCGCUAAGUUUAUUUCCCCACAGUAAAAGAAUCUGAAGCUUUGGAGCAUUGGUAAUGGGUGGUAAAUUACCUGUAAAAUAGCAUCUUUUAGAAAACAUAUUCAUUGAAUACCAAAUUCACAAAAUAUAUAAUACAUUAAAAUUAAAACUUUAAAACUUUAAAUCAAUUAAGAAUAAAAUUUUGGCAUGGAAAAUUGUGAUGAAAUCAAUUAGAAAGUUGAGACAUAAUAAGAAGUUUUGAGUAGUAAUUACUCAUGAUUUCCAUAGACAAAACAUAUAAUACACUGAUAAUUUUUUUAAAAAUAUUGUAAAACCUGAAAUAAAAUAAAAAAUAAAAGUUUGGCAUGAGAAUGUGGCAUCUAAUCAUUCUUAAAAAUAAGACUAACAUUGAAUAAUAAUUAGUUAUGAUUUGAGAAACAAAAAUGUUAAAGAUGUAAACUGGUAUGAUUUUUAUCUAUUGGGUUAAUUAUUUAUUUUUAUUAAAUUAUAUAUAGUGUAAAAUUUAAAGAUUAUUAUUUGCUCAAAAUUUUUGUAUUUUUCGUAUAUUUGAAAUUUAAUCUUUAUAUUUUUUAUUUUCUGUGAUUUAGUCUCUCUACUUUUUGAAUUGAAAAUUUUAAGUUUAUUUAUUAACACUGUUAAAAAGUUUUUGUGUUAGUAUGGCAUUUUGAAAAAUAAAAUAAACUUGAUAUCUAUGUUUUUAAUUAUUCCAAAUACUGUUUUACUAUUCCAAGAUAAAUUAUUUGUGUCUAGACCAAUAUCUUAAGAACUAUUGUUGCAUGUUUAAUUAUUCUAAAGAAUUGUUGAUUGAGUCUUAGUUGAAGUGCACUAUUCUCCUAUUUAUGAAUUGGGGAGUUGAUAAAGUACUAAAUUUUGAUAUAUUUUAAAAAAUUAAAAAUUUAUUAAAAUAUUUUUAUAAAAAUUAAUUGUACCAAAAUAUACAAUUUUAAUAUCAAAUUUUUAAUUUUUUUAAAAAUAUUAGCGAAUAUAUACUUUAUUUCAAGUUACACAAUUUUUACUAGUUUUUAACUUUUUUUUUAAAUUUUUAUCGUCUUUUAUAAUUUCAUAUAUUUUUUUAUAAUUUUUUACAAUAUUUACAAUUUCUAACAAUUUUUAAUAAUUUUAUUAUUUAUUAUAAAUUUAAAAAUUAACAAAUUUUUAUUUUUUUAAAACAAUUAUAUAUUUAUAAUGUAGUUAUUUUUUUAUAAUUUUUUUUGAAAUUUAAAGAUUUUUUUGGUUUUUUCUAGAUGAUGAUGCCAUCAUGAUGUCAUCAUAUGCCACAUGGCAAUUUAUAAUUAGUUGACUAUCUCAAUCUAUUUUUUUAACGUCCAAUGGACUAAAACAAGAACACCUGAUAAUGUUAGAGACUACACUAGGAAUGUUUGAUAAUAUUAGGUACUAAAGUGGGCAAAAAAAAUUAAGGACUAUAUUAAAAAUAUAUCUAUAAUAUAUAUAAAUGCAUGGAUUUUGAGAAACUUUUGAAAUGACAAAUAUAUAGUCUUUGUUUUUUUUUACUAUAUUAUUGAAUUUUUUAUUUUAAAUAUUUUUUUAUUACUUUUAAGAUUUAUCAUAUGUAUGGAUAAAAAUUUUGGUUUUACUAAAAUAUUUGGUUAAAUAAAUUCACUUUAUAAAAAAAUUUAGCAUCCUUAUAAAUAACAAUUUUGAUUCCAUUAAAAAAAUUAUUUAAAAAUAUAUAAUAAAAAUUUAAAAUUUAUAUUGAAUCACUUUAUACUUAAAUUAUUAUUAGAAACUUUAUCAUACACAUAUGUGUAUGAGAACCACGUUUUCAGAACUUAAAUUUGUGUUCUAAAAUAACUUAUGAUAAAUAAUUAAAUGUAUAAUUUGAAAUUAUAUUGAAAUAAAAAUAGAUUAAAUUGUAAGUAAAACAUAUAUAAUUUAAACAUAUGAAUACAUCAAAUUAAAAAUACUAAAUGAAUACAUUUAUUUAUGAUGAUGUUGUUGUCAAUUCAUAAGUUGGUGUCGAGUUAAUUUGUGACAUCAUAAUUUUAAGUGAUAAAUUUAAGGUUUUAUGUAUUGAUGUCGAUUCAAAUAUCACCAUAAUUUUUUUAAAUAAAAAACUAAAGCACCCUCAAAUAAUAUAACUUAUAUUAAAUAUGAAAGGGUAUUUUUGUAAUUUCUCUAACGAGUUGGUGCCCGGUUGACUCAUGACACCAACUCAAUCAAAAGCUUCAAUAAUAAUAUAGAUAUUCACGUUUAAAAAAAGUACUUUAGUUCGAAAUAAUUAUGUAACAAGUAAUUUUAUAAUUGAUGAAUAAUUUUAUAAAAAUAUAUUUAUAUGAUCUAAUAUAUUAUAUUUAUAUUAAUUAUAUAUCAUCUACAAACUUUGAAGAUCAAUUUAUUAAGUAUCAGGAAAAGAAAAAAUGAAAUUGAAUUAACACUAAAUCAAUUUUUAGAUUUUGUACAGAUGAUUUAAUGAUGAUAAAAACAUUAUUAGCACUAUUUUUGAAUUAACAAAAAAUUAGUGAUAUAUUUUAAUUAUAUUUUUUAUUUUUUAUUUUUAAUAAUAUUUUUUUAAUUAUAUGAAGUAAAAUUAUAUUGUAUACUAAAUAUGGUACAUAUACUUUAAUUAAAACUUGAAAAAGUAUUAUAUAAAUUAAUAUAUUUUAAUUAUAUUCAACCAUUUGAAUAACAAAAUUAAAAAAAAACUAAUUAGAAUUAUUUACUUUUUAAAGUUUAAUGGAAAAUAAAAAAUAAAAAAUAAAUCAAUUCAUAUAAAUCUUAUUGUUUAUUAUCAGAUUAAAAUGAUAAAAGUAUAUGACAUACAUAGAAGAAACAAAUUCAACACCAUGUUUUUGGAGUUUGGAAAAAAUUAAAGUGAAAAACCUACCUUCUAAACUGUUGUUAAAUAGAUCUAUUUCUUCGAGCGUAGUUGAAUUAAAAAUACUUGAUGGAAUCUGACCUGCACACAUAGUCGAAAAUUGAAGUGAAAUCAAACUCUUUUGUGAAAAAAAUAUUACCAGAUAAUUCAUUCCAACCCAGGUAAAGCCCUUCAAGCUUGGGAAGAUGUUGACACAUAUCAUUAGGCAAACUACCUGAUAGGCUAUUGUUGGAGAGAUUAAUGGUCUUCAAAGAAGAAAUGUUGAAGAUCGAAGUUGGAAUCUGACCUAUAAGGCCUUUAAUUGCUCUAAUACUAAGCCUUUCCAAACUAAGAAGAUUACCAAUUUCCUUAGGAAUUAGACCUGCAGACAGUCGAAAAUUCAAUGUUUUUCAGCAUAUGUUUUUCAUCAAAUGAAAUAAAAAGUUCUUCCUUUUGUUAUCUAUUACAAAUCAAACUCUUUUAUAAAAAAAAUACUUUAAAUUCAAGAAAUCAAGGAAAUUGAUUACCUUCUAGAUUAUUAAACCCCAAAUAUAAUUCUUGGAGUCGUGUUAGAUUUCCAAUACUUCUUGGAAUGAUCCCCAUAAAUUGAUUAUAGGACAACGACAAAAUAUUAAGGUUGUUGCAUUUGCCCAUGCCAAAUGGAAUGUUACUAGAAAACUCAUUGCUAUCCAAGUAAAGCCCUUCAAGCUUGGGAAGAUGUUGACACAUAUCAUUAGGCAAACUACCUGAUAGGUUAUUGUUGGAGAGAUCAAUGGUCUUCAAAGAAGAAAUGUUGAAGAUCGAAGUUGGAAUCUGACCUGUAAAGCCUUUAAUUGCUUUAAUAUUAAGCAUUUCCAAACUAAGAAGUUUAAAUCAAUUAAGAAUAAAAUUUUGGCAUGGAAAAAUGUGAUGAAAUCAAUUAAAAAGUUGAGACAUAAUAAGAAGUUUUGAGUCGUAAUUAGUCCUUCUGAUUUGUAUAGACAAAACAUAUAAUACACUAAUAAUAAUUAGUUUGGCAUGAGAAUGUGGCAUCUAAUCAAUCUUAAAAAUGAGAUGACACUGAAUAAUAAUUAGUUAUGAUUUGGGAAACAAAAAUGUUAAAGCCAUUGCUUUUAAUGUAAACUAGUAUGAUUUUUAUCUAUUGGGUUAAUUAUUUAUUUUUAUGAAAUUAUAGUGUAAAAUUUAAAGAUUAUUUUUAUCUAUUACAAAUCAAACUCUUUUAUGAAAAAAAUAUUUUAAAUUAAAGAAACAAAGAAAAUUCAAUAUCUUCUAAGUUAUUCCACUCCAAAUAUAAUCUUCAGUGAAGAAAUCUUGAAGAUGGAAGAUGGAACCUUACCAGAUAAUUGAUUGAAUCCCAAGCUCAAGGACUCUAGAUUAGACAUGUUAACAAGUGUUUCAGGGAUUGUGCCUAUAAAGUUAUUAUUUUUCAUUUUCAGCCUUCGAACUCCCUGUAAGUUCCCAAGCCAUGAUGGAAUUUCCCCAUUAAGACUGUUGUAUUUUAAUCGAAGGAUCCUCAAACGAUGCAAUUGGCCCAAUUCUUUAGGGAGAUGGCCAUAGAAAUGGUUUCUACUCAAGUCGAGAGAGAGUAGAAAUGAAAGAUUUCCAAGGUGUGGAGGGAUACUACCCCUAAGAUUCAUGCUUUUAAGUUUGGAAACAAAUUCAACACAAUGUUUUUGGAGUUUGGAAAAAAUUAAAGUGAAAAACAUACCUUCUAAUUUGUUGUCAGAUAGUCCUAUUAUUUCGAGCAUAGUUGAAUUAAAAAUACUUGAUGGAAUCUGACCUGCACAUAUAGUUGAAAAUUGAAGUGAAAAACAUACCUUCUAAACUGUUCAACUAAAAAAACUUUAAGCAUAUUUGUUUUUCCAUCAAAUUAACUAUUUUGCCUUGAAUGAAAUAAAAUGCUCUUACUUUUGUUAUUUAUUACUAAUCAAACUCUUUUCUAAAAAAAAACUUUAAAUUAAGAAACUAAGAAAAUUCGGUACCUUCUAGGUUAUUAAACCCUAAAUAUAACUUCUGGAGUCGUGUUAGAUUUCCAAUACUUCUUGGAAUGAUACCCAUAAAUUGAUUAUAGGACAACGACAAAUUUUUAAGGUUGUUGCAUUUGCCCAUGCCAAAUGGAAUGUUACCAGAUAAUUCAUUCCAACUCAGGUAAAGCCCUUCAAGCUUGGGAAGAUGUUGACACAUAUCAUUAGGCAAACUACCUAGGUUAUUGUUGGAGAGAUCAAUGGUCUUCAAAGAAGAAAUGUUGAAGAUCGAAGUUGGAAUCUGACCUGUAAGGCCUUUAAUUGCUUUAAUAUUAAGCAAUACCAAAUCAAGAAUAUUACCGAUUUCCAAACCAAGAAUUUAUAGAAGAAACAAAUUUAACACAAUGUUUUUUGAGUUUGGAAAAUGUUAAAGUGAAAAACAUACCUUCUAAUUUGUUGUCAGAUAGUCCUAUUAUUUCGAGCAUAGUUGAAUUAAAAAUACUUGAUGGAAUCUGACCUGCACAUAUAGUUGAAAAUUGAAGUGAAAAACAUACCUUCUAAACUGUUCAACUAAAAAAACUUUAAGCAUAUUUGUUUUUCCAUCAAAUUAACUAUUUUGCCUUGAAUGAAAUAAAAUGCUCUUACUUUUGUUAUUUAUUACUAAUCAAACUCUUUUCUAAAAAAAAACUUUAAAUUAAGAAACUAAGAAAAUUCGGUACCUUCUAGGUUAUUCAACCCCAAAUAUAAUUCUUUGAGUUGUGUCAGAUUUCCAAUACUUUUUGGAAUGAUCCCCAUCAAUUGAUUAUAGGACAAUGACAAAAUUUUAAGGUUGCUGCAUUUGCCCAUGCCAAAUGGAAUGUUACCAGAUAAUUCAUUCCGACUCAAGUAAAGCCCUUCAAGCUUGGGAAGAUGUUGACACAUAUCAUUAGGCAAACUACCUGGUAGGCUAUUGCUGGAGAGUUUAAUAAUCUUCAGAGAAGAAAUAUUGAAGAUGGAAGAUGGAACCUGACCAAAUAAUUGAUUGAAUCCCAAGUUCAAGAUCUCUAGAUUAGACAUGUUAACAAGUGUUUCAGGGAUUGUGCCUGUAAAGUUAUUAUUCUUCAUUUCCAGCCUUCGAACUCUCUGUAAGUUCCCAAGCCAUGAUGGAAUUUCCCCAUUCAGACGGUUGUAGCUUAAUUGAAGGAUCCUCAAACGAUGCAAUUGGCCAAAUUCUUUAGGGAGAUGGCCAUAGAAAUGGUUGCUACUCAAGUCGAGAGAGAGUAGAAAUGAAAGAUUUCCAAGGUGUGGAGGGAUAGUACCCCUAAGAUUCAUGCUUGUAAGAUUCAAAGCUAUAACUCUUUUAUGGAGGAUGCCACAAGAAACACCAAUCCAAUUGCAAACAGAGGUUGAGGCCGUCCAAUUGUUUGCCAAGACAUUUUGAGGACCGGCAAUGCGAUCCUUAAACUCGAGAAGUGCAAACUGAUCGGAGUUGAGAUUCCUGACUGUCAUACCCCAGCAAAGUCCGGAACAUGGUAUGAAUAAAGCUAAAAGAAGAUGAAAGCAAGUGUUGUAGUUCAUGAUAGCAAGACGGAAUAAGCCAAGAAAAUAAAAAAAAGUAGGACAAGGGAAGUUGAGUUGAUAAAAUAGUUUGGAUGAUGAAGAAAAGCCCAGAGAGCAUGCUUUAAUAUGUUUUGAAGAAAUUUCAAAAUAAAUUUCAAAAUAAAUUUCAAAAUAAAAAUUUAAAAAGGAAAGCAAAGUUUUGAAGAAAUUUCAAAAUAAAUUUCAAGUCUUCUUCUUUAAAAAAUACGUACAAAGAGCGAAUUUUCAAAAUUUUUCCUAAAUUUUCUUCACAUUACUCCACAUAAUCCAUUAAAAAAACUUAAAAAAUAUAUUUUAUUAAUUACUAUACAUUCUUUUAUUUUCAGAAUAAUAAAUUGUUUAAAAUUUGCUAUUAGUCCCUAUAAUUUAAAAGUUAAAAAAAAUUCAAUCCUCCUACUUUUCUAAUUUAAAAAUUUUAGUUCAAUCAAUUUUAAUUUUAAAAUCUCUGUAUAAAAGGUGUUUUUUUUGUGACCGAUCACACUUAACCAAUAUUUAAAAAUUAAUAAAAAAUAUUUUUUUUUGAAAUUUAAAGUGAUCUAAAAACAUAUUUUUAAGUGCUUUGGACCGUCUAUUGUUGAUUUCCUUAUUAUAUUAAGUGUUUGCAAUCACUCCUAAUAUAUUGUGCUUGAGUUGUGACAAAGCCGAUCAUCAAAUUGCCAUAAUGAUCUAUUGAUGCUGAAAUUGAAGUUUUUGUUAUAUUGAUAGAGCUUGUCCUUCAACGCGUACAACGUGUUUGUUAUUUUUCUCCCUUCAAAUUGUAUGAUCUUAUUCAUUAAAUGAAUUAAUGAAUUUCCCUUUUAAAAAGAUAUAUUUUUAAAAAUUAAAUACUUUAUAAAAUAUUUAAAAAUUUGUAAGCCUUAAAACAAUCAACAAAAUAUUUUUGAAAUUUUAUAAAUAUAUUUUAAAACUAUAGUAACGCUACAAAAUAUAUAUAUUUACUAAUUAUAUGCACCUUUUUUAUUUUUAUUUCCUAACAUAUCAUUAUUUUCAACACUAUCGUAAUCCUGUUUUGAUAAUUCCCUUUCCAUACAUCCUUUUUCUACAUAGAAUUUCAAAAGAAAAUGUGAAUUAAUGUAAACGUGAGAAGACUUAAUUACAUUUAUUAGUUUAUCAAUCAAAACUUAAUUAGAAUCCAUCAAUAUUUCACACAUCAAAAACCCAAACAUAAAAUUCACUUUUAAAUUAUUUGAAGAUACAUUUGUAUUAUAGGAAAUCGAUUAAAUUAGUCUUUUAUUAUUAAAUGUAUUAUUUUAAUCUUUGUAUUAGGUAUGAAUGAUAUCUCCUAAAUUGAAGCCAGAGCUAUUCUUGAAAGACUGAAAUUAGGAUUCAGAUGUGUUGAGAUGGAAAGUGACAACACAAUGUUGAUUGAAACUAUUUGUAACAGGUUGACUACAAUAAGUAGUGCUGCCGAAGUAAGACAGAUUCACGAUUGGUGUUCCAAAAAUUGGGAAGUCAAAUUUAGACAUAUUCAGCGGAAUGCCAAUAAAGUUGUUGAUUGCAUAGCUAAGGCAAAUGGAGGCGUAAUUGAGCAGCUGGUUAUCUUGGAAGAUCCUCUGCAUUAUGUGAGAUGGUAGCUUGAAGAAGAUAUUAGACAGUCACUAGUGACUGAUGAUAAUUUUCAUUUGGACUGAUGAGCGCUUAAUUUUCUAAGCUUAUGUUCAACAAAAAAAAUUUUAACUACGUUUAAAUUGUAAUAGAGUUAACAUUUAGUGUUUAAAAAAUAUCUUAAAAAUUAUUAUUUUUUCCAAUUGCAGUUCAAUUCCACAAAUAUCGACGAUGAAUCCGGACAUAAAAAUUAUAGAAAAAAAACACAUCUAUUAUCAAACCAACAAUCCAUGUCUAAACUUAAAUUAACAAAAUUUGCCACGCAACGCCCAGUACACUAUUAUAUAUAUACUAGAUUUAUUCUAGAUGCACAUGUUUUAUUAUAUUUAAAAUUUAAAAUAUAUGGUUGACUAAGUGUUAGUUGAGUUAGUAUUGCUAUUAUUGUCAGUGUAAGGAAAUGUGAGUUUAAUUGCGCUCAAAUGUGUUUUAUCCUCCAAUUCAAGGGUUAGGAAAAGGUUAUUGAUAAUUAAGUUAUACCAACUUUUAUGAUAUUAAAAAAAGGAUUUAUAAAUAAUAUAAGGAAAAGAAAGAAAGAGAAACAUAUUCAUAUUGAUGGGCUCUUUCAAUAUUAGACUUUUUUUUCUAUCACAAGUAAAAAUAUCAAAGGUGAUAAUAAUUAAAUUAUAAAAUUUAAAUUGAGAAAAUAGGGGAUUGAGUUUAUAAGUUUUAAAGUAUAAAGAAUGAAUAUAUAACUAACAACAUAUUUUAACCACAUAAUAAAAGUAGUUAUGGUAAAAUAAUGACCUGAAUAAUUUUAAACGUCUCAUCCUUGCAAAAAUGAAAUAAUAGAAAAGAAAUAAGUGUUGGGUGUAGUGGCAAUGUACAUCAUACUUCUAAGGGGAGAUUAGGGUUUUAGACAAGGGAAGAAUUUUAAACUUGCUCUUUUCUCUAGAACUCAACGCAAACCUCAAAUUUAUCUUUUUAAAAGAAUUUAAAAAUAUGUAUAUAAAAGGUGAUUUUUUUACCGAUCACACUUAACAAAAUUUUAAAAAAAAAUGAAAUUUAAAGUGAUCUAAAAACAUAUUUUUAAGUGCUUUAGACCAUCCUGUGCUGAUUUCUUUAGUAAUUUGAUUUGUUCAAUAUAGAUUUUGGUAACUUAAAACAAAAUUAAUAAAAAAUUAUUUUUUUAGAUAUCUUUUUAAUGUUUAAUAAUAAGUUAAUUUAUAAAAUAUACUUUCAUUGGACACAGGGCCUCCAAGGCGGUGAACCACUAAUCAAAUUAAUUUUGAGAUACUUAAAUUUGUUUUCAUCAAUUAAGAAAUUAAAAAAAUUGUUGAGACCUCAUGAUUAUGUUUUAUAAUUUCAGGCUUAUCAACUAUUUUGAAAAACAACAAAACGUCUUACACCAAAAACUAAAAAAUAAAAACGUCGACAUUAAAUUUGUUGGCAUGCAAUCAAUUUUAAGAUGGUUUUUGGAGUUAUAUAUCACCUUAGCAUUGACUUACUUUUCUACAGUUUGUCUUCUCCAACAAGUUAAAUAUUUCAAUUUUAACAACAUUGACAGGUCUUUGGGGUAGGGUCGAGCAAAAUUCAAUAAAAACAGAUGAUAUAAGUUGAGUUGGCUCGGCCAAGUCGAGUCGAUUUGUUCAAAUUAUUUAAAUUAGUAAAUUUUAGGGUGCAAUUAGAAUUUUUUGUUUUGAGAUGCUAAUUAGAUUAAAAAAUUUCAGUUGCUAAAACAAAAAAAUUGUAUUUAAAAAGGCAUAAAUUAAAUAAUUAAGUUUUUCGAGUUUCCAUUUAAUCAAAGGUUAAAAGGACUAAAUUGAAGCUUUUUAUUUUUAAGAAAGGCUGAAUGACAAAUUGCCCAAAGCCCAUGGCCCUAGCUAUACAACUAACUUUUCUAUGAUUAGUCCUUGGUUUGCUUUGGGUGAAAUCUUCCAACUAGCCUCAUCCUUGGUUUUACUUUCCAACAAUUAGUGUAUCGCGGGUUUUGUUUUCUUUAAAAAAUAUUUGUGGAUAUUAGGAGAUAAUGAAAAUUAUUUUACUAUGAAAUUUUAAUAAAACUGGAAAAUAAGUAAUUUAUUUUAAGAGAUCACAAUUAAACGUUAGAUUUCCCCUUUUUAAAUUAUAAAUUUUUUUUUGACAAUUGCAUAAUAUUUUGAGCGUUGUAGGAAUGCCAUAAUAUAACCUUCCCUACGCAUAAUCGACUCUUGAGCAUGAUGGAUCCUAGACCUUCUCCUCUAUUCUCGUACCACAAAUUGCUUCAAGUGUGGGUUCGAACAAUCACAAAUUAAACGCAAAACCAAAAAUGAUUUAUUACUUUCAAUAGCAAAGUAAUUCUCUCUCAAUAGAAACCAAUAGAAUUGUAAUUCCUAGAAAAUAAAAUUUAUUUUUUGAAAAUAUAUUCUCACUACUUUCUAGCAGAAUAACAAUAUGUGAAACUUAUGUCUUGUGUUAAUAGCUCUACCAGUACUAUCUAUUUAUAGGGAGAGACACGAGAAUCCUGGUUGAAUUAGUAAAACACGAAUAAUAUUUAUUUCAUAGAAAACAAUAUUCCACCCUAAGUAGAUCAAGUUUGUAUGACGCAUGGAUCAAAGCUCAAUCUAGGAGAAAAAAAACAAAGGAAUUUUCUUUGUAAAGAAAAUUUGAGAUUGUACUAUUUUCAAAGUUAUAAAUAAAAUUAUACGCCAAAUUUUCAAGUCAAUUUUCAACUCCAAUUUUGUAUGCACAAAUUUCUAAUACACUUGGUGGGACAUUCUUUGACUUUUAUCUAUUCUCUCAAAAAGUUAAAGUUCAAAGUUACAUUAAACUCAAAGAAGAUAUUCAUUAGUAAACCACCUCACAAGCCUGCUCAAGCUAAUCCUACAACUCGUUCCACUUCAUCAUCAAACACCAAUAUUCUUGCUUAUCCUUAUGGAAUUAAACAGUCUCAUUUUCUGCAUUUUGGGUACACACUUAGUUUUGUUUGAUGCUAAAACAGUCCCCGAGCACUCCAAAACCUAUAAUUGAACAAAUAAUACUAAUUUAAUCUUACAUAACAUGAUCCCAAAUUGAAAUUGUAUCGAGGUUUUAACCCAUAAGUGACUAAACCUUACCUUCAACCGAUGAACAGUAAUUCCCACACAAACUAAGACUCCAAUUGGAGAUUACGAGCCAUUGAAUCCUCCCCUAAUUGGCAUAAACAAAACACUUCAAAAGAAAGUUAACAAAUGGAGACAAAUCACUUAUCUAAAACUUACCGAACGAUCACAGAAAAACGUGGAGUGACACGAGGCAGAGUGGGAAAAGAAAAAUCAAGAGGAUGAAGGGUGAAAGAGAGCAAAAAUUCGGUAGCAAUGAAGAGAAAAACAGCAAGAAAGUGGAGGGAUUUUAGGGAAAGUAAAAAAAAAGAUGAAUAGAAUAUUUGAUAACUACCCAAUCCCUUAUUUCUCUCUAUCAAACUCCCCACUAAAUCCACUACUCGAAUUUUUAGUCCAUCUCAAACUCUCCUGGACGCACGAGCAAAAAAUAAUGACCAUGCCAAAAUUUAAACAAAAGACCUCCUUCACACCAACACUCCACUUAUCCACCAGACCAAUAGGCUCAUUCUUUUAAUUAUUUUCCAACUUUUACUUAAAAGCCUACUGACCAAAGAUAGGGCUUAUUCAUAAAAAUACCAAAUUUUGCCCAAGACCUGGCUUGAACUUGGGACCUCUCAAACACACCCAGAACACAUAACCACUAAAGCAGACAGAAAUUUUGUGUCACACAUUCACAAUACCCAAAAUUAAAAUUUUAGGGCGUUACAAAAACACAUUAAACAAUAUCGCAUAAAACAAUCACAGUCAGAUAACAAUUCAGAAUGUCGAUUUUACAAUUUAACCACCAAUAGUAUCAUAGUAUUCACAGUUGUAAUUUCAGAAUAUCAAAUUUCCACAUCAUUCACAAUAUUCACACAUAUAUAAAUAUAUCAUAAUAGAAUUCUAGAUUUGUAUGCACAUGAUUUAGAAGAUGCCAUACAAUUUUGGGUUUUAACAGAAUAAAUCCUACCCCACAUUACAUACCAUAAUGGGAGUUCCCCUAAACUCCCUUCUCCAACACACUAGGUUGUGGAUAAACCACUAUUGGUUCACAAAUAAUAACUGUCAUUUGGCUGUGGACACAUAGCAAGUCCCCGCAAUUGGAUUCUAGAUUUGGUUGUGGAUUCACAGCAAAAAAAUCCUACAAAUGAAGCCUGCUUUUGCCUGUAGAUUAUACAACAUAUACCCGCAGUUGGAAUCUGUCUUUGGCUGUGGAUGCAGUGUAACACCUCAAACUCGACCUAGACGUUAUGGCUAAAUCUUAAUGAUUUACUUUAACUCGCUAGAAAGCCCACGAAUUUACUUUAAAAUCAUGUGGUUAAACUAGUGUUCACUUUGAUAAAUCGUUUUCCAGUUUUAGAGAAAAUUCUUGUUAAAACUGUUACUUUAUUACAAUAAAACAUUGAAGUAAUUGUAUCAUUUUGUAGUGGAAUCUACUAAGCUAUAAGGUUUUGAAAAUCGUGAUUUAGUUUGAAACAAAUCAUUUUGCAAAUAGAAAUUUAAUACUACUUAAUUUGGAAAAGCACGCUAAAACGAAAGCAAAGUCCAAAAUAAUUUACGGUUUGAAAUUCUAAAAAGCCCAAAUUAGUCAUAAAGUCUAUUUAAACCAAUUUAUCGAAAGUGUAACACCCUAAACCCGGCCUGUAUGUUAUGGCCAAAUCUAGAUGUGUUACGAAAAAAAGUUUAUAAAACGACUUCCUUGUUAUUGGCAAAUCAUCGUAGCCAUUAUUACUUAGUAUAUCUGAUUUGUUUGGAAAACUUAUUGAUAUACUUAUUUGAUUUAAAAUCGUUGCUCACUUACGCCUUUUUAUUAAACCAAAUAUUUUGCAGCGGAGUUUCUUUAAAACAUCAUAUUUUGGAAAAUCAAAUUGUUUCUUGAAAAUCGUUAUUUUAGAAAAGUUGUCAUUUUCAGAAAAAUUAUUUUAUCAGUUGUUAUGCUGAGAAAACAAAAUAAAAUCCAAAACCAAAAAUAGUCCCAAAAAGUCUAGAGAGUCCCAAAAUGACAAUACUCUUAAAACUAGACAAGUUUAAACUAAUUUUAAAAGAAUGAAAUUUUACAGAAAUGUGGACACCACUGAGCUUCCGUCGCACCGACCCACCUAAAUCUGAGGGUUACUUGAACAGAAUAAACAAACAGAGAGUGAGUUUUGAAACUUAGUGUCUAACGCGUAUAUAAACAAAAAUUCAGAAUCAAUCUCAUGCAGAACAGAUACAAGUGUAAACCUUUUAUAAAAUUAGAAUUAUACAGAUACAAAUAUGCAACAUCCUACCCUCAUCCUCUACACACCAACUCCGACCAUUCUAUCACACCACGUGGGGUAUAAAAUACCCACCCAGCCCUACACACCGUAUAGUAUUUAUAUGACACUUUUUGGAAUAAUCGCAGCAGAGUUGCCAGUAUAUAGGCGAGAUAUCACCUCACACAGAACACUUCCUCCUCAUAAUACAAAUCCCGCCCCAUAGCCAGAUACAGACAAAAUAUCAUGUAAAAUAAAUUAACAGAUACUAGAGUUAACAUAUCACGCAUGAGCGUAUAAUAGAUAUUACACAUGCUUAUGCAUAACAAAAUAGAUCAUACAUAUUGUAUUCCAUAAUACUCAUAUAAAUGUUAUUUACGUCAAUCUCAAUCUAAUAGAGUAGCUGAUUUCAUGCUUUAACUCUUAUACCACACAUACAGACCCUAUAGAAGGCCCACAGUUGAUCGAGACAACAUGUAUGUCCCUAGGGAAAAAAUUUGUAAUUUGGGCCCAUAUGCAUGUAUGAGCCCACACACCCAAAAUGGCCUUGCCCAUGUGGCUCACCUACCUAGCACUCAGCCCAUACGGUCCAAAAUGGCCUAGGUCGUGUGUCACACACAGCCGCAUGUUGCACACAGCCUACCACAUAGCGAGUCACAAAACCGUUUGGAGUUGACAAGCCUAAUUUUUGGCUUUCGUCAAUCGUCAUUUUCUUACGUUUUCAUUACACACUUGGUUUGAUUCUGACCCAAAAGCAACCCUAAGUCCACCGAAACCUAAAAAUAGCAUUCCAAUGCCCAAUUUCAGUGAACAUUUACAAAACUUAAACAAAAACUAUCCAAAAACAUAGCCUCACAAUAGCAUCCAAUGCACUCGCACACUUACCGUCAACGAAUAGGAAACACCCAACACUCAAUUCGUUGGCGGAGCACCAAUUAUGAUAAUGCAAAAAUUUUAUGGAUUCUCAACACUAUCGAUCCAAAUGUAAGAUUGAUGCUUUCCAAUUAUGAUAAUGCAAAAAUUUUAUGGGAUGGUUUACAUGAAUUUUUGUUGUUGUCAACGAUCAAUGUAUUCAAUAAUUAAAAGAAAAUAUUAGUCGUUGUUAGAAAACCAAUACUAUGAGUGUUGUAGUUUAUUUCAGUAAAUUAAAGGUUUUGUGGGAUGAACUAGACAAUCAUGAACAAUUGAUUUAUUGCAAGUGUGGACAAUGUUUAUGUAACUUAGGGAAGACGGAUGAACAAUGUCGUGAGCAUGAUCGACUUCAUCAAUUACUUCUUGCUCUCUAUUCUAAUUGUUAUGCUCAAACUAGGUUUACAUUGUUUUACCAAGAUCCUUUGCCUUCCUUAAAUCAGGCAUUCCAACAAAUUACUUAGGAGGAACAUGUACGUGGAAUUACACUGAUUAAGGAAGAGAAGUCUGAUAUUUUAGGCUUUGCUUUGCAUACAGAAGGUCAUAACAAAGGCCGAGCUAAUUGUAUUGAUAAGUCAACCUUGUUGUGCACUCAUUGCUAUCGCAAAAGGCAUGAGAUGGCUACCUAUUUUGAAUUACAUAGCCACUUGGAUUGGCGGCUUAAGAAGUAUGGGAAGCCAGAGAAGAAAAGUGAUGAUCGUGGUGGUAAGACAAGUGCACAUCUUCCACGUAAGUAUUUUAUUUCAAAGGAUCACAAUUAAACAUUAGAUUUCUCAUUUUUAAAUUUUUUUUAUUUUUUUAACAACUACGUAAUUAACGAGUACCAAUUUUGGGUGUUGUAGGGGUUCUAUAACUUUCCCUAUAUGUAAUCGACUCUUGCACCCUCUUUUUUUCUCUAGAAUUCAAUGCAAACCUUAAAUUUAUCUUUUUAAAAGAAUUUUAAAAUCUCUUUAUAAAAGACGAUUUUUUUAGGUGACCAAUCACAGUUAAGAAAAACAAAUCGGUGGCAACUCCUUUCUAAUAAAUGUAAAAAACUUUUUAAACAAAAUAAGGUUGAAAUAAUCUAGUUGUCGUUAUACUUUGAUAAAAUUUUAGAUUUAGUCCUUAUACUUAAAAGGUUAAAAAUUAAGUCUUGUUUUUAUUUAAAAAUCUUAGUCCUAUCGUUAAUAUUGUUUUUUUUUUGUCAAAAUUUGUCAAGUUGACAUAUUAAUUAGGUUUCUCUUAUAUAUCGUGGUAUAUGACUAACACAAAAUAAACAAGUUGACAAAUUCUACAAAAAAUAUCAAAGAUGAUAAUAGUUUAAUUAAAAUUUUUAAAUUAAAAAAGUAAGGGAUUAAAUUUAUAACUUUUAAAGUAUAAUGAAUGAAAUUAUUGAAAUACAAGAACUAACAACAUAUUUUAAAAAUAUUACUAGUAAAUUAUAUAUCUACAACAAGAAUUGUAACCUCUUAUAUUAUAUUCUUGUAUUUAUUUUUGCAUCUUUCAUAAUAUGAUUUAUUAAUUUUAAUAUUUUUAUAGAAUAAUAUGCUUUAAAUAGUUUUUUGUAUCAUUUAUAAAAAUUAUAAUAAACUUACAAAAUAAUUUAAUGAUAUUUAAUUAUUAAUCGAAAAAAAUGAUAUCAUAUAUAUUAUGUAUAUAUUAAGAUUCCAAAUCAUUAAUUAUAUAUCUACGCAUUAUAAUAAAUUCAUCUUUCAAAAUUUUCCUUAUAAUUAAAGCAUAAAUUAUAUUUAUAAUAAUAUAAAUAUAUUCUAUCAUAAAUAUUCUUUCAAAUAUUUUUUAAUGUUUAAUAAUAAGUUAAUUUAUAAAAUAUUCUUUCAGUAAAUUAACGUGAUGAGAUCGUUAGGUGCUUGGAUUUGGUGAAGGGGGAUGAAGAGAAAAGGGAUGGAAGUGAAUAAAAAUGUUGAGAAAUGGAAAGGGUUAGCGAGGGAAGCCGCCAUGAAAGGUGGUUCAAUGGAUAUGAACCUUCAAGCUUUUGUGGAUGAUGUUACUCAAGGUUGUUGCAAGUAAAUUUAAAAAUGUUUUUAAAUUAUUUUUUUGUUAAAAAAACAUUUUUUACUUUUUUAUGUGGCAUGCCACAUUAUCAUACUAUCAUGUGACAAUUUCUGGUGAUUUCUGUCCGCAACAUUAGUCAAAUCAACUGUUAAAUCGUUCAACUCACAGUUUUUGUUAAAUGAAGAGGUUAAUUGAUUUUUUUUUGGAAUCAUUGAGUACUCAAUUGGUGCACUUUUUUCAUAAAGGCUAAAUUAAUUUUUUAAUUUGUUAUUGUUGAAGGCUAUAGCAAUAAAAAAAAUUGAGGUAAAAAAAUAUUAGAGCUAAAUUUGUCAUUAUGCCUAAAAUGUAAAACCAAAUUUUUUUGAAAAUGAAAAAAAAUGGAAAAUCGCAAAUUCCGUCGCAUAUUUUUGCUUAAAAUUAUAGUUUUGGUCACCAAUCUUUUGAAGUAAAUAUAGGUCACCAAUAUUAUCAAUUUGUUACUUUGUAAUAACUCACCUUAAGUUAUACCCCGACGCACGAAAGGAUUAAAUGACAUUGGGAUACCAUCAAACUUGUAUCUUAAAUACACAUUUACCCCUAAUUUUAUCACAUUCUUCUUAAUUGGUAUUUAUGGUUUAGAAAAUUUUACAAAUAUAUUAUUUUUUAAGAAAUUAUAAGAAGAUUACAAAAAUUCCAAAAUAAUAUAAAAAAGCUAAGGAAAACCUAGAAAUUCAAAAAAAAAAACGUGGACAUUGAAUUUGCUGUUUCACAUUAAAUUUUUGGAGAAGUAGAAUUUUCUAACUUAUUUUCCAUCAACUUCACUUCAAUUUUCAAUCACAAUCUAUUGCAUUCAAGAGCACCACAUCUUUUGGGAUGAAACAAACCUCUCAAUUUUAAGAUAAACGGAAUCUAUUGCAUUCAAGAGCACCACGUCUUUUUGGAUGAAACAAAGCUCUCAAUUUUAGGAUAAACGGGUCUUUAGGGUUAUAAAUUGAGGUCCUUUUCCACAAUUGCGGGUGAUUCGUUGAUAAUAACCUCAACAUUUCUGUAUCACAUUUAAUUCAAUUCCACAUUCAAUUUUUAGUUUUUAGAGAGAUGAUUGGGUUACAACAAUGGUUUGAAGUGAAGAUAUUUCAAAACAAGAUGAAUACUCUACCAAUAGUCAUAAUUUAAAAUGCAGGUUAUGUUUCAUUUCAGCUAAGUUAAAUGUUAAGAUUGAGGUUAAACCUUUUAGAGGUUGCUCGCAAAAGGAUCAAACCUUUAUAAAAUUGUUUAAAUGAAGGUCAAACCUCUUAAAAUAGACAAAUAAGGGCCUAACCUUUUAAAAGGUGUUCAAAUAAGGGUUUCUCAAAUUUUGUAUAUCAGGUUAUGUAUUUUACUCUAAACACAUCGACAUUUACCUAUUUUUUCUAUAAAUUGGGUUGAAGUGCAUGAAAAAACCUUAUUUAAGCACUUCUGUAAAGGUUAAACUCUUAUUUGACUAUUUUGAAAGGUUUGAUCCUUAUAUAAGCAACCUCUAAAAGAUUGAGUACUAAUUUGACAAGAUUGAGAAAUACCUAAAUUUGUUUUCAUGAAUCAAGAAAAUAAAAAAGAAAUGUUGAGAAAUAUUUUAGAGAUUCUUAGCUUUGACAAGUUCCCUCCAUCAUCUUCCUGCCUCCAGUCCCACCUCUUCUCUUAUGCUCCUCCCAGCUUCUUGCUUUUUGUGUGUUGAAAUUUCAAAGGAACAAAAUAUCAACCUACAUCAUAAGGCACGAUUGCCAGAACUUUACUUUCUAGCCUGUCGAUCCGAUCCAAUGAAAGAAGAACAAAGAGUCUCAAGAUCUGUCAACUUUAUUUCAUUUUCAUUUUCUUUGUCAUUUUCUAUGUUUCAUGUCGAAUACAAUGAAAGAACAUAGAAAAAUGUUGCCUAUUUAUUUCCCAAUCAUCAUGAAAUUACUUGCCAUAGACUUAGAAUUUUCUCACCAAUUUUCAAGCAAUCUGACAUGAUUUCUCAAUCACAAUUAAUUGAAUUCAAGAUCUUUUUAGAUGACACAAACAUUUCAAUUUUAACACAAACCAAUAUUUAGGUUGUACUUCAGUGCUUGACAAGCACUUUCACAUUUGUGGGAUAAGAACUCUUAACAUUUUAGGAUCACAUUUAAUUCAAUUGCAUUUAAGACCUCACGAUUUUAUUCUAUAAUUUCAGUCUUAUCAGCCUUUUCGGAAACAAUAAAACGUCGACAUUAAAUUUGUUGUUGAUGCAUUCAAUUUUUUGAGGGGUCUUUGGAGUUAUAUGUGACUUUAGCAUUGACUGACUUUUUUAUAAUUAAUCUUUUAUAAUAUAUCAAUUUUAAUAACAUCGACAUGUUUUUUAGUAGGGUCUAGCAAAACCCAAUUAAAACCGAUGAUAUUGGCUUAGUUGACUCGGUCAAGUCCAUUAGAUUGAUAAAAUCAAUUUUAAAAUCAGUUAUAAUGGAUUAAGGUAAUUAAUUAUCGAGUAAUGAAAUACAUAAUCAAAUCAAUUGAUUUUGUUAGAAACUAAAAGAAAAUGAGAUAAGCUGAAAACUGAUUGCCCUUUAUUAAAAUUAACGAAUCCGCCCUUUACGUAUUAGAUAAUACGAACAUCACAUAUAUAAUAAGAAAAAUUACGUAUGAUUAUUUAUUAUCAUAAAAGGUUAGUUUAAAUUUAAAGUAAUCUAAUAUGUUUAUUGAACUUCAACUAUUAAAUAAAGUAUAAGCUAAAUAAGUAUAAAUAUUCUAGAAACCAUUUCUAACUGAUGAUAGGCUAAUUCGAUUAAUUUAUAAAAACUACAUAGUAGGGUUAUAGUCCUCAAACUACACCUAAUUUAAUAAUAUUUAUAGUUUUUUUUUUAGCCUUAAACAUUUAUAGUUUUUUGUUAAUUUGGUCCUUACUCUUUAAAAUUACAUAAAAAUUGCAAAAAAAAUUAAAAUUAAUUUUUUUUCAUAAUUUUAAUAACAUUUAUAGUUUUUUUUUUGUGUGUGGUUUGGUAACUUAUCAACUCGACUCUCACUUGUAACCAACUUUUCUAACCUUUUUCGUACCCUUAACCUAAGUCCCGUUACAACUUUCUAAAGACCUCUUUAUCAGUGUAUCAUGUCGGUUUGUUUUAUAAUGGUGGAGAUUUGUUUUUUGUAGUGGCACGAUUGCCAGAACUUUACUUUCUAGCCUAUCGAUCCGAUCCAAUGAAAGAAGAACAAAGAGUCUUAAGAUCUGUCAACUUUAUUUCAUUUUCAUUUUCUUUGUCAUUUUCUAUGUUUCUUGUCAAAUACAAUGAAAAAAGAACAUAGAAAAAUGUUGCAUAUUUAUUUCCCAUUCAUCACUCUAACAGGCCCAAUUAGCCCAGGCCCAAACAUUAAUAAAAUGUCUAGAUUACAAAAUAAUCAACUAAAAAUUAAAAGCUCAAAAAAUAAAAUAAAACCCAUUAUAUUAACCCAAAACCCCAGCCCAAUUACAUUGAAACCCAAAAAAAAAAUAGUUUUCAGAAACCCCUAGGGUUUCAGAAGCCCCUCAAUGUUAUUUUGUAUAUCUAUUUAUCUUUUUAAAUUUUCGAUAUUGUCUUGUUUUGUUUUUGUAUUAUUGUUGUUACCAUCAUUAUUCAUUAUUAUUAUUGUUGAUUUUAUUGUUCUUUGAUUAAUGUUAAUGUUAGAGUAAUAGAUGUUAUGUGAUCAUUGUUAUUAUAUGUUAUAAUUUGUUUACACUCGUAUUGUAGUCAUUUGUCAGCUUAAUAUUUUGAGUAAUAUUUUAAAUAUUACAUUAAUUUCGACCCAAAUGCAUAAUUUUUUAAUAAGUAAUAUUUUAUAUUUUGAAAUUUGAGAGAUCAUUCCCUAACUUACGGGGUCUCAAUUUUUUCGAUAAAUCUGAAUAUACUAACUAUUUUCAAAAAAUAUGUUUUAAAAUUAUCUCGGGAAUUUAAAAAGGAGCGUGUUCUAACUUACUGAAUAUGAUCUUUUUUUUAAAAUCGAGAUAAUCAAAUAACUUUCAAAUAAAUAAAUUUUCAAUGUUUAUUCUCAUAUCAGGAUUUAAAAUAUUAUAUCCUAACUCACGGGAUACAAUUCUUUUUCUCGAUUAACAUGAAAUAUGCCCGUUUUAAUUUUAUUUUUUAAGUGAUUUUAACAAAAGGAUUGUAUUUUAAAUCUCUUCAAAAUUUUCAAUUUUUCGACAUUGAGACAUUAACUAAUCAAUUAGGUACCAAUUUUGGGCGUUACGAGGGUGCUAACCCUUCCUCAUACGUAACCGACUCCCGAACCUAUUUUUCUGAAUAUUGAAGGCCAAAAUUGUUUUAAUAAAUUAAACCCUUAAGACGUGACCCCAUCACACCUCAUAAAAAUUAUCGGUGGCGACUCUCGUUUGCGUUUUUGUUUUCGUUUUCAAAAUAAAAGUCGACCCCUUGUUUUAAAAAAGGUGGUUCGAUAGCUUGGCGACUCCGUUGGGGAAAAAAAUAAGAGAGUCAAGCCACGAGUUGAUUAUUUCUUAUUUUUUGUCAGAAAUUGUGAAUUCGAUUUAAAUUUACGAUCUUUUCAUUGCAUUUUAUGGUCUGCAUCAUUUUGAUAUGCUUGCUUUACUGGUUCGAGUCUUUUAAUCUCCGCAUAUUGCAUUGCAUAACCGUUCGGUUAUACCCUUUUAAGUGGGAGUGAGAAACUAUUCAUUUGUGAGAUUUUUACCUCCGUAUAGGAUAGUGGAUUACUUUCGGGAUACAUCCGUACCUAUGUCUUCGUGAGAUUUUCAUCUCCGUAUAGUUAUAGGGAAAUGUAUUCCCCUGAACUGAACUCAGUCCGUAUGAGCCUAUAAUAGGUAAGGAUUGAGGAAUCUGCUGGUUCAGGUACCCUUUCUUUAGAACUAAACUGCAUGUAGUGAGCCCUAAGAGCAUACCGUAGGUAGAACCACUCCAAACCCCUAGUGGUCACCCAAAUAGGUGCUCUAUUUAUUUUUGCUUGCUUAUUUUUGCAUUGUACUAACCUAUUUUUUUGUUAUGAUUGCAUUGCAUUUUCAUCAUAAAAAAGAUGUGUUGAUUCACGUUCAAUUGCUAAAUAGAGAGCUUGUCAUGGAAAACGGAUUUCUUGAUAAAGUGGAAGACAAUGUGGUUAUCCGGAUAUGGUCCAAGAAAAUUUGACGAAAGAAGGGUGAUAGUCUAAUGGAGGACUACACGACCUUGCUUUAUUGCCCGAGGAUUCAAGUUGACAAAGAUUAUUUGAGAGUCCUCAAUGUCCCGACCUUUUUCAAGAAGCUAACGAGUGUCACGAGGAUGAGUGAGUAAUGAGUUGCGGCCCGGAUCAAGCAAAAAAGAGAUAGAGGAGACACCCUUUUUGAAGAGUUCGCGAGAUUUAUAUUAAUAUCAAAAUGAAGAAAAAGAUCAAUGUCUUCGCCUGGAGUAUGAAAGCAAAGCUGUAUAUAUAUCCGCUUUAUGUAAAUAAAUUUGUUUUCUAGUAAAGUUUUUCUAAUAGAAUUGAAUCAGAAUCAAUGUCUUUUUUUGCAUUCAUUCCAUUCAUCUGCAUUGCAUUUCAUUGCAUCCAAAAUUUCACAAAAGGACCCUAAUUAAUUGAAAUUGUUAUAGUUACUCUGAAAACUAAUAAAAAUCUACCAAUUAAAUAUUCCUACGGUACCCGUCGCAAAACCAAAGUAAUGGAUCAAAUAUUAGAAAGAUUAGAACAAAUUCUGAAAGACAAGCAUAAUCGUUUUUGCUUAGGGUACAAGCCAGAUACAAGACAAAGAAGGAAGGAGUUAGAGAAGAAAUAGGAAAGAAUGACAGCAUAUUUGAGCGAGGAUGAGGUCAAAUGGGAGCCUAUGAACUUUCCCUACAUAUCCAAAACUUUUGUAUCGGGAGGGAUUAUUCAUCCCGAGCGAAGAAUGCCAAGAGAAGAAAAUAUUGAAGAAAUGUUGGGAAACGUUCACAUCAAUGCCAUAUACGAAGAAGUAGUUGAAGGAUGGACCUUGUUAGAUAUCCGACCUUAUGAACCUGGGAGUGUGCUAAACAAUUGGACUACAGAAGAAAUUCCUGUAGUGUUUAGACCUUACUCAGAGUAAUAUUCAAAACACACUUGUUGCUUUUAGCCUAGAAGUGAUAAGAAUCCCUCUGUGAAAUAGGCUCAUGUAUAAACAUCAUUAUUUUAAUAAAGUAAAUCUUUGCAUUCAUUUUGAGCAAAUAUUCUUUUAUUCUUUCCAUACGAGUAAUUAUUUUAGAUUUUUCAUUAUUUUAGGAUUUUCUUCCAAAAAUCAUUCUUUUAUUACAUUCAUAAUCAUACUGUACAAAUAAUUAUUCUUAAAUUCAUUCAUUCUUUGUAUAUUCUUUUGUACCUAUAAUAGGUCCCUAGAUAUCAACGACAUGAGUGACGCUGCUACAGACUUAGAAUUUCCUUUUAAACAAGACAUGUGUUUAGAGGGAUCCCAUGACUUUGAAGAUGACGUAGACUGUGGCUUAUCUCCGGACUUGUUAAGGAUGGUAAAACAAGAGGAGAAGCAAAUCCUACUUCACAAUGAAUCAAUGGAAAUUGUGAGCUUAGAAGGGGAAAAUAGGUGAAGAUUGGGACUGACAUUGCCACAAAUACGAAGUAAGACCUCAUUGAGUUACUCUAAGAAUUCAAAGAUAUUUUUGCAUGGUCAUACUAGGAUACGCUCGGGUUAAGUACUGACAUUGUAGUACACUGCCUUCCUAUAAAAGAAGAUUGCUAGCCAGUUCAGCAGAAACUCCAGAGGAUGAGGCCUGAUAUUGUGCUAAAAAUAAAAGAAGUCAAAAAGUAAUUUGAUGUUGGGUUCUUACAAGUGGUCAAAUAUUCAGAAUGGGUAGCCAACAUCGUCUCAGUUCCUAAAAAAAAUGGGAAAGUACGAAUGUGCAUGGAUUACAGAGACUUGAACAAGGCCAGUCGAAAAGACAAUUCCCUAUUGCCUCACGUUGACACUUUGGUGGAUAAUACAGUAGGCUACUCACUUUUUUCCUUCAUGGAUGGCUUCUCUGGAUACAAUCAGAUAAAGAUGCAUCCAAAAACAUGGGAAAGAUUACAUUCGUGACCCUGUAGGAAACGUUUUACUAUAAAGUGAUGACAUUCAGAUUAAAGAAUAUGGGAGCGACGUAUCAAAGGGUGAUGGUAACCUUGUUUCAUGACAUGAUUUACAAGGAAAUCGAGGUUUAUAUUGACGAUAUGAUUGCAAAAUCUAGAACAGAAGAGGAACAUGUGCAGGUCCUGAGAAAAUUAUUCUUAAGACUGAGAAAGUUCUAGCUCAAGCUUUCCAACGAAAUGCACUUUCGGAGCUAGGUCAGGAAAGCUAUUAGGCUUCAUAGUCAGUGAAAAAGGAAUCGAGAUCAACCCAGACAAAGUCAAGGUAAUAAGAGAUUUACCUCCACUAUGCACUCAGAAGAAAGUUCGAGGUUUCCUAGGAAGACUAAAUUACAUUGCUCGGUUUAUUUCACAACUAACCGAAAAAUGUGACCCCAUAUUUCAUCUUUUAAAGAAACAUAAUCCAGAUGUAUAGGAUGAAGAAUGUCAGGAAGUUUUUGAUAGGAUAAAGCAGUACCUAUCAAAUACUCUAGUGCUGUUACCACCUAGCCCAGAUAGGCCACUGAUAUUGUAUUUAACAGUGUUUGAUAAUUUUAUGGGAUGCAUGCUAGGCCAACAUGAUGAGACAGGAAGGAAAGAAAGGGUUAUAUACUAUCUCAGUAAGAAAUUCACUGAUUAUGAAAUAAGAUACUCGUCUAUUGAGAAAUUAUGUUGUGCCUUGAUCUGGAUAACUCGGAGGCUAAGGCGGUACAUGUUGUACCAUACGACUUGACUAAUUUCAAAGUUAGACCCUUUAAAGUAUAUGAUGGAGUCAACUACUUUGAAUGGGAGGAUGGCCAGAUGGCAGAUUUUACUUUUUGAAUUUGACAUACUUUAUGUGAGCCAGAAGGCUAUAAAAUGGAGUGCAAUAGCGGAUUUUCUAGCUAGCAGAGCCUUGGAGGAUUAUGAGCCUUUAAAUUUUGAUUUUUUGAACGAGGACUUAAUGUAUGUGGCAACCACUAAAGAAAAUGCUCAAGUGGAUCGCAUUUGGAAGCUAAAAUUUGACGGAGCCUCAAAUGCUAUGGGUAAUAAAAUUGAGGCAGUCUUAGUAUCCCCGAGCAGAGAUCAUUAUCCUAUUGCUGGCAAAUUGGAUUUUGAUUGUACAAACAAUAUAGCAGAAAAUGAAGCGUGUAUUAUGGGCAUCCGUAUAGCCAAAGAAUGUAAAAUCAAAGUGCUAAAGGUAUAUGGGGAUUCUGCAUUGGUGAUAUAUCAGCUCAAAGGAGGAUGAGAGAUAAGAGACCUCAAAUUGAUUAAUUAUCGAAAGUUUAUUCUCGAAUUGAUUGAUGAGUUUGAUGAUAUUACUUUCUCCUAUCUCCCACUAGAUGAAAACCAGAUGGCUGACACGUUGGCUACUCUAGCUUUCAUGAUCAAAGUAAACAAACUAGAAGACAUGAAGCCUAUCCAGAUGAGCAUUUAUGAGACUUUGGCUCAUUGCUACAGUAUCGAGGAAGAGGAAAAGGAUGAUCAUCCUUGGUACCAAGAUAUACUGCAAUAUGUAAAGAAUCACGAGUACCCUGAUCAGGCAACGAAGAAUGAUAAGAGGACAUUGAGAAGACUAGCCACUAACUAUGUCUUACAUGGAGAGAUUUUAUACAAAAAGGGAAAGGAUCGGGUACUACUAAGAUGCUGGAUGCUAUAAAAGCUUAGAAAAUCUUGGAGGAAGUCCAUGAAGGUAUCUGCAAAAUGCAUGCCAACGGUUUCACAAUAGUAAGACAGAUUAUGAGAUUCGGGUACUACUGGUCGACCAUGGAAGGAGAUUGCAUCAAUUAUGCCAAGAAGUGCCAUAAAUGUCAAAUUUAUAGAGACAAAAUACACGCACGUUCUUCACCUCUCAACGUUAUGACUUCUCUAUGGCCUUUCUCUAUGUGGGAUAUGGAUGUCAUCGGGCCAAUAUUGCCAAAGGCUUCUAAUAGGUAUCGUUUCAUCUUCAUGGUCAUUGGUUACUUCACUAAAUAGAUGGAAGCUGAUUCAUAUGCUAAUGUCACGAAGUCAGGAGUCAGCAAGUUCUUGAAAAGGGAGAUCAUAUGUUGAUAUAUAAUGCCUGAAAGAAUCAUAUCUGACAAUACAUUGAAUUCGAAAAAUAGCAAAAUAGCGGAGGUCUGCAAUCAAUUCAAGAUCAAACACCAUAAUUCGUCACCAUAUCGCCCAAAAAUGAACGGAGCAGUGGAGGCGGCCAACUAAAAUACCAAGAAAAUUGUGGGGAAAAUGUCUGAGACUUACAAAGAUUGGCAUGAAAAAUUACCAUUUGCCCUCUUUGUUUAUCGAACAUCAAUCAGGACUUUCGUCGGGGCAACGCCUUUCUCUCUAGUUUAUAAGAUGGAGGCAGUUUUACCCAUUAAAGUUGAAAUCCCUUCUCUCUGGGUAUUGGCUGAGCUAAAGUUGGAUGAAGCUGAAUAGAUCCAACCUCGAUAUGAUCAGUUGAACCUAAUAGAAAGAAAAAGGCUAAAAGUUAUUCACCACGGUCAGAUGUACCAAAAACGAAUGAUGCGAGCCUACAACAAAAAAGUUCAUCCCAAAGAAUUCUAUGAGGGGGACCUAGUGUUGAAAAAGAUUUUUCCUCUACAAAAGAAUUUUAGAGGAAAAUGGAUGCCAAAUUAGGAAAGACCUUAUGUUGUAAUAAAGGCCUUUUCUGGAGGAGCAUUGAUUUUGAGUGAGAUGGAUGGUAAAAAUUUUCCUAAUCUUGUAAACUCAGAUUCAUUCAAGAAAUACUUCACCUAAAGAAGGAGAAGGGACCAAUGUGAAAACCUGCAAAGGGCACUUUGAGUCUUAAAAAAAAGAGACCAAGGUGAAAACCGCAAAUGGUGUCUUAAGUCCUAAAAAAAAGAGGCCAAGGUGAAAACUAGCAAAGGGCGCCUUGAGACCAAAGGGGAUUUGAGUUGAAAACCCGAAAAGAGCGACUCAAAUAUUGAUUAAAAUGGGGCAUGCAGUGAUCUUGCUAUACUUGAAUUAAUAGGAAAGGGGUAUACGACAUCUUGGGGCAUCGACAAAGUACUAUAGAUCUCCUAAACACAUUUCAAACUCAAAAUGGUCUUUAGGAAGUUUGUACAGAGAAAUUCAAGCUGCGAUGUCUAGGGCACCUAGUCUUCAUACUAUUUAUAUUAAAUUUGCUAUUCUUGGAAUACUUUAUUCUUUUCAAGAUACGUGUUCCCAAUCAAUUCCCUUUUUAUUCUUCUUUAUCCUUGAUAAUUUAUUCAUUUCGAGCUAUGCUCCAAAUCAAUUCUAUUCUUAUCCAUUGUUAUUAUCUUUUGCAAGCAUGUUGUAUUGGAAUAAUGAUUAAUAGACUAAUAAUACUUUUACAAAUAAAGUGCUGUAUAUUACUCUAAAAGUUUCUAAAUAAUACAAGAACCUAAAACAGGACUAUUGUUUAGAACGCACCGGGUUUAAAGGUUAGAAAUAUCUGAGAAGGAAGAGUCCAAAUUAAGACUAUCCCUUCGAAUUUUGUUGUCAAAAUAUUGAUUGAACAAAACGACAAGAUAUCGUAUUGGUGAACAAACGAGCAAUGAUCACCAGGUAAUAAAAAGAGGUUAUUUUGGAAAAAAAAUUACAUUGGUACGACACCUUAGGAAUGGUGUAAGAGACCAAAGAGGUUCACAUCUUGUAUUCUUGAAUUGCAAUAGGAGAGGAUUGAGAAAGAGCUAGAUAUUAUACUCCUGAAUUAUAAUGGAAGGGAAAUGGUACAAAUUUUAUGUACCAAAAGUACAGUGGAUUGAACCUUGAAGAUUACAGUAGGGGAAAUCUGAUUAAGUAAAAUAUGAAGUGUUUCUUUGGAGAUACCAGUCGAACAAGAUGGCAUUAUGACGUGUCGGUGAUAGAGCCUUAAUGAAUAAUGAGCAAUAACAACUCAAGCAUUAAGGGAUCAUUUUCAUAACAUUCUGUAUUCAUUCAUACACAUCUAGUUAGGAGAUUUUGAUUCAUUCCGAUCAUAACAUCCAAAUCACUAGACAUAAAUAGGCCCAUGAAAUGGAUUCUACAGGUCAUGUUCCCCAUAGAACAGAUGGGUGAAACCACAAAUCCUAUACCGCUGAAGUUGCAGUGGGAUGGAUUGAAGUCAUUAUGGCGAGUCUUAUCUCCCUGAAGUUGCAAUGGAGCAUAUUAAAGCUAGUAAUCUUAUCUCCCUGAAGUUGCAGUAGAGCGGAUUGAAGUUACAAGUCUUAUCCCCCUAAAGUUACAGUGGAGCAGACUGAAGAUAGUGAAUCUUAUUUCCCUGAAGCUGCAGUGGAACAAAUUGAAGCUAUAAAUUGUAGAUUUUAUCUCUCUAAAGUUGCAAUAGAGAAGAUCAUAUCAAACUUUAUCUCCCUGAAGUUGUAGUGGAACAGGUUGAAAAUACCAAUCUUAUCUCCCUGAAGUUACAGUGGAGUAGACUGAAGAUAGCGAAUCUUAUUUCUCUGAAGUUGCAGUGGAACGGAUUGAAGCUAUAAAUUACAGAUCUUAUCUCUCAGAAGUUGCAGUAAAGCAGAUCAUAGAAAACCUUAUCUCCCUGAACUUGCAGUGGAGUAGGUUGAAGUUAUAAGUCUUAUCUCCCUAAAGUUGCAGUGGAGCAGACUGAAGAUAGCGAAUCUUAUUNNNNNNNNNNNNNNNNNNNNNNNNNNNNNNNNNNNNNNNNNNNNNNNNNNNNNNNNNNNNNNNNNNNNNNNNNNNNNNNNNNNNNNNNNNNNNNNNNNNNNNNNNNNNNNNNNNNNNNNNNNNNNNNNNNNNNNNNNNNNNNNNNNNNNNNNNNNNNNNNNNNNNNNNNNNNNNNNNNNNNNNNNNNNNNNNNNNNNNNNNNNNNNNNNNNNNNNNNNNNNNNNNNNNNNNNNNNNNNNNNNNNNNNNNNNNNNNNNNNNNNNNNNNNNNNNNNNNNNNNNNNNNNNNNNNNNNNNNNNNNNNNNNNNNNNNNNNNNNNNNNNNNNNNNNNNNNNNNNNNNNNNNNNNNNNNNNNNNNNNNNNNNNNNNNNNNNNNNNNNNNNNNNNNNNNNNNNNNNNNNNNNNNNNNNNNNNNNNNNNNNNNNNNNNNNNNNNNNNNNNNNNNNNNNNNNNNNNNNNNNNNNNNNNNNNNNNNNNNNNNNNNNNNNNNNNNNNNNNNNUCAAAGGAACAAAAUAUCACCUACAUCAUAAGGCACGAUCGCCAGAACUUUACUUUCUAGCCUGUCGAUCCGAUCCAAUCCAAUGAAAGAACACAAGGAGUCUUAAGAUCUGUCAACUUUAUUUCAUUUUCAUUUCUUUGUCAUUUUCUAUGUUUCAUGUCGAAUACAAUAAAGAGAACAUAGAAAAAUGUGGCCUAUUUAUUUCCCAAUCAUCAUGAAAUUACUUGCCAUUGACUUAGAUUUUCUCACCAAUUUCAAGCAAUCUGACAUGAUUUCUCAUCACAAUUAAUUGAAUUCAAGAUCUUUUUAGAUGACACAAACAUUUCAUUUUAACACAAACCAAUAUUUCGGUUAUACUUCAGUGCUUGACAAGCACUUUCACAUUUGUGGAUAAGAACUCUUAACAUUUUAGGAUCACAUUUAAUUCAAUUGCAUUUAAGACCUCAUGGUUUUAUUCUAUAAUUUCAGUCUUAUCAGCCUUUUCGGAAACAAUAAAACGUCGACAUUAAAUUUGUUGUUGAUGCAUUCAAUUUUUUGGGUCUUUGGAGUUAUGUGACUUUAGCAUUGACUGACUUUUUUAUAAUUUAAUAAUAAGGUAAAUAUAUUAAUUUUAAUAACAUCGACAUGUUUUUUAGUAGGGUCGAGCAAAACCCAAUUAAAAUCGAUGAUAUUGGCUUAGUUGACUCGGUCAAGUCCAUUAGAUUGAUAAAAUCAUUUUUAAAAUCAGUUAUAAUGGAUAAAGGUAAUUAAUUAUCGAGUAAUGAAAUACAUAAUCAAAUCAAUUGAUUUUGUUAGAAACUAAAAGAAAAAGGGCUAAGCUGAAAAUUGAUUGCCCUUUAUUAAAAUUAACGAAUCUGUCUUUUACGUAUUAGAUAAUAUGAACAUCGCAUAUAUAAUAAGAAAAUUACGUAUGAUUAUUUAUUAUCAUAAAAGGUUAGUUUAAAUUUAAAGUAAUCUAAUAUGUUUAUUGAACUUCAACUAUUAAAUAAAGUAUAAGCUAAAUAAGUAUAAAUAUUCUAGAAACCAUUUCUAACUGAUGAUAGGCUAAUUCGAUUAAUUUAUAAAAACUAGAUAGUAGGGUUAUAGUCCUCAAACUACACCUAAUUUAAUAACAUUUAUAUUUUUUUUAGCCUUAAACAUUUAUAGUUUUGUUAAUUUGGUCCUUACUCUUUAAAAUUACAUAAAAAAUUGCAAAAAAAUUAAAAAUUAAUUUUUAUCAUGAUUUAAUAACAUUUAUAUUUUUUUUUGUGGUUUGGUAACUUAUCAACUUGACUCUUACUUGUAACCAACUUUUCUAACCUUUUUCGUACCCUUAACCUAAGUCCCGUUACAAUUUCUAAAGACCUCUUGAUUGGUGUAUCAUCUCGAUUUGUUUUUAUAGUGGUGGAGAUUUGUUUUUUGUAGUGGGCAUGAUUGCCAGAACUUUACUUUCUAUCCUGUCGAUCCGAUCCAAUGAAAGAAUAACAAAGAGGUCUUAAGAUCUGUCAACUUUAUUUCAUUUUCAUUUUCUUUGUCAUUUUCUAUGUUUCUUGUCACAUACAAUGAAAGAAGAACAUAGAAAAAUGUUGCCUAUUUAUUUCCCAAUCAUCAUUCUAACAGGCCGAAUUAGCCCAGGCCCAAACAUUAAUAAAUGUCCAGAUUACAAAAUAACCAACCAAAAAUUAAAAGCCCAAAUAAUAAAAUAAAACCCAUUACAUUAACCCAAAACUCCAGCCCAAUUACAUUGAAGCCAAAAAAAUAGUUUUUAGAAACCCCUAGGGUUUCUGGAACAAUCCGCGCCGCUCCUCCAUCCGCUUCUCCACGCACGCUGCACCUUUCCACGUGCGCCUCCAGCUGGCAGUGUACCUCCAAUGCAACAAACAAAGCAACAAGCAGCAAAAGAAAUGGAAAAACAACAAAAAAAAAAGAAGGAGCAACAAUGUAUAACAGAUUGAUAACAAAUAAUAGAAAAAAUAGCAGUAAAUAGGAAAAAAAAUUAAAAAAUAAUGAGGGUAAUUUCAUUUUUUUCUCUGUUUUGGCUAUAAAGAGAGCCGGUCAAAAUCUCUAAAGGGGGAUUUAGAAUCAAUCAGAAAACAAGUAUUUUGUACCAACAAUUAGAGAAAAAAAAUACAAAAAUAGGGAUUGAAGGUUUUUUUUUUCUUUCGUUUCGAUUUAUUUAAAAUAGCAUAGAAAAUAAAAAGAAGGCUUACCUUGCGACGCCUUCAGAUCCUCUCGAAAAGGGGCUAAAAGGCCCUAUGUGGCACAGAUUUGACCACUGUUCACGGUGGAACCGCAGCGGAGGCGCAGAGGAUUGGCAUCAAUUUAGGCAGGGUUUGAAACCCUAGCAGAGAAAAAAUUAGGGUUGAUAGAUUUUUUUUAAAAAAAUGGCAAAAUGUUGUUUUUAAAAAAUUUUGUUUUAAAAAAAUUGUUGCUUUUAUAAAGGGUGUAAAACGGCGUCGUUUAGGGCAUGUUUCGAUGGCCCCAAAACGGCGCCUUAUAAGGCAACCCCCGACGACCCGACCUGCUCCAUGGGGGAUCCGCGUGGUUUUUGUUAAAUGGGUUAUGUCUAACCCUGGCCCUUCUACUUUUUAUACUUGUUUUAAUUUGAUCCUCUUUUUAUUUAUUUUUAUUUCUUUAAAUUAAGCCUGAUAAUUUUUUUCCAUUACAUUUUAAUCCUUAAUGAAACGGCGCGUUUUAGAGGAGAAGGGAAAAUUACCCUUCUAGUCCCUUCUUGUUAUUCGAGUGUUCAGAAGGGUCCUUUUUUGUUUAUUUUUUAUUUGCCCCAAAAUUUUGUUUUAAAGCUUAAUUUAGUCCUAUUUUGUUAUUUUAGCUAUUUUAUUAUUAGAUUAAUUAAUUUAAUAUUAUUAUUACUGCUAUUAUUUUACCCCUAUUAGUUAUAUAUUUAUUAUUAUAACUAUAUCAUUAAAUCAAUUAGUUUUUACAUUAUUAUUUCCAUUCUGUUUUUUAUUUACUUACUUAAAUACUUUAAAUGCAUUUAUUUUAUUUCUUAUUUUUUUAUGAAAUUUCAAAACUUUAGACUAUUUUUUUGUUACUAUAACCCUAAUUUCAUUCAUUUUAUAAUAGUUUUUUUUUAAAAUAUUUCUUAGAUUAAUUCCCUCGAUGUUAUUUUGUAUAUUUAUUUAUCUUUUUAAAUUUUCGAUAUUGUCUUAUUGUAUUAUUGUUGUUACUAUCAUUAUUCAUUAUUAUUGUUGAUUUUAUUCUUCUUUGAUUAAUGUUUAUGUUAGAGUAAUAGGUGUUAUGUGAUCAUUGUUAUUAUAUGUUAUAAUUUGUUGACACUCGUAUUGUAGUCAUUCGUCAGCUUAAUAUUUGAGUAACAUUUUAAAUAUUACAUUAAUUUUGACCCAAAUGCAUAAUUUUUUAAUAAGUAAUAUUUCGUAUUGUGGAAUUUGAGAGAUCAUUCCCUAACUUACGGGGUCUCGAUUUUUUUGAUAAAUCUGAAUAUAAGAACUAUUUUAAAAAAAUACGUUUUAAAAUUAUCUCGGGAAUUUAAAAAGAAGCGUGUUCUAACUUACGGAAUAUGAUCUUUUUUAAAAAUCGAGAUAAUCAAAUAUCUUUCAAAUAAAUAAACUUUUCGUGUUUAUUCUCGUUUUAGGAUUUAAGAUAUUGUGUCCUAACUCACGGGACACAAUUCUUUUUCUCGAUUAACGUGAAAUACGCCCUUUUUAAUUUUAUCUUUUUAAGUGAUUUUAACAAAAGGAUUGUAUUUUAAAUCUCUUCAAAAUUUUCAAUUUUUCGACAUUGAGACAUUAACUAAUCAAUUAGGUACCAAUUUUGGGCGUUACAAGGGUGUUAACCCUUCCUUGUACAUAACCGACUCCCGAACCUAUUUUUCUGAAUAUUAUAGGCCAAAAUUGUUUUAAUAAAUUAAACCCUUAAGAGGUGACUCGAUCACAGCUCAUAAAAAUUAUCGGUGGCGACCCUUGUUUUAAAAAAGGUGGUUUCAACAGCUUGGCGACUCCGCUGGGGACAAAAAUAAGAGUCAAGCCGCGAGUUGAUUAUUUCUUAUCUUUUUGUCAGAAAUUGUGAAUUCGAUUUAAAUUUAUGAUCUUUUCAUUGCAUUUUAUGGUCUGCAUCAUUUUUAUAUGCUUGCUUUACUACUUCGAGUCUUUUAAUCUUCGCAUAUUGUAUUGCAUAACCGUUCGGUUAUACCCUUUUAAGCGGGAGUGAGAAAUUAUUCUUUCGUGAGGUUUUCACCUUCGUAUAGGAUAGUGGAUUACUUUCAGGAUACAUCCAUACCUAUGUCUUCGUGAGAUUCUCAUCUCCGUAUAGUCAUAGGGAAAUGUAUUCCCCUGAACUGAACUCAGUCCGUAUGAGCCUAUAAUGGGUGAGGAUUGAGGAAUCUGCUGGUUCAGGUACCCUUUCUUUAGAACUAAACCGCAUGUAGUGAGCCCUAAGAGCAUACCCUAGGUAGAACCACUCCAAACCCCUAGUGGUCACCCAAAUAGGUGCUCUAUUUAUUUUUGCUUGCUUGUUUUUGCCUUGUACUAACCUAUUUGUUAUGGUUAUGAGUGCAUUGCAUUUUUAUCAUAAAAAAGAUGUGUUGAUUCACGUUCAGUUGCUAAAUAGAGAGCUUGUCAUGGAAAACGAAUUUCUUGAUAAAGUGGAAGACAAUGCGGUUGUCCGGAUAUGGUCCAAGAAAAUGUGAAGAAAGAAGGGUGAUAGUCUAAUGGAGGACUACACGACCUUGCUUCGUUGCCUGAUGAUUCAAGUUGACAAAGAUUAUUCGAGAGUCUUCAAUGUCCCGACCUUUUUAAAGAAGCUAACGAGCGUCACGAGGAUGAGCGAGUAAUGAGUUGCGGCCCGGAUCAAGCAAAAAAAAGAUAGAGGAGACACCCUUUUUGAAGAGUUCACGAGAUUUAUCUUAACAUCUAGACGAAGAAAAAGAUCAAUCUCUUUGCCUAGAGUAUGAGGGCAAAGCCGUAUAUAUAUCCGCUUUAUGUAAAUAAAUUUGUUUUCUAGUAAAGUUUUUCUAAUAGAAUUGAAUCAGAAUCAACGUCUCUUUUUGCAUUCAUUCCAUUCAUCUGCAUUGCAUUUCAUUGCAUCUAGAAUUUCACAAAAGGACCCUAAUUAAUCGAAAUUGUUAUAGCUACCUUGAAAAACUAACGAAAAUUUACCAAUUAAAUAUUCCUAUGGUACCCAUUGCAAAACUAAAGUAAUGGAUCAAAUAUUAGAAAGAUUAGAACAAAUGCUGAAGGAUAAACAUAACUGCUUUGGCUUAGGGUACAAGCCAGAUACAAGACAAAGAAGAAAUAGGAAAGGAGAACACGUUUGAGCGGGGAUGAGGUCAAAUGGGAGGGAUUAUUCAUCCCAGGCGAAGAAUGCCAAGAGAAGAAAAUAUUGAAAACAUGUUGGGAAACGUUCACAUCAAUGCCAUAUACGAAGAAGCAAUUGAAGGAGUGACCUUGUUAGAUAUCCGCCCUUAUGAACCUAAGAGUGUGCUAAACAAUUGGACUGCAGAAGAAAUUCUUGUAGUGUUUAGAGCUUACUCAUAGUAAUGUUCAGAACACACUUGUUGCUUUUAGCCUAGAAGUGAUAAGAAUCCCUCUGUGAAAUAGGCUCAUGUAUAAAAAUCAUUAUUUUAAUGAAGUACAUCUUUGCAUUCAUUUUGAGCAAAUAUUCUUUUAUUCUUUUCAUACGAGUAAUUAUUUUGGAUUCUUUAAUUCUUUUGGGAUUUUCUUCCAAAAUCAUUCUUUUAUUACAUCCAUAAUCAUACUGUACAAAUAAUGUAAUAGCCUGAAUUUUCAGUGGUGUCGGAAUGGUGAUUCAAGAUCACUAAGUCUGACAAAUGAGUAGAAAAUAUUAUUAAUUUAGUAAGAAUAAGUAAAUGUGAAGUUAGGAAAAUUUUUGAAAUAGUGAAUAGUGUACUAGGAAUAAAUAUUAAAAUAAUUAAAAUAAAAAAUGAGGUAUCGAGACCUCGAAGAUUUUAAACCAAGCCAUAAGUACUUUUAGAAGUAUUUUUAGAGUGUCAUUGAGUUGGUAUUAAAGUUUCGUUAGAAAAUUUUAACGCUCGGAUAGUUAAUUAACCAAAAAGGACUAAAUUGAAAAUAGUGUAAAAUUUGUUAAAUUGUGAUUAAAUAGCUUAAGUGAUUAAAAAGGAGGGAUUUAAAAGGCAAUUAGGCCCAAAUUAUAUGGGCUGGACGGUUGGGUAAGAAAAAUCAGCAGAAUGUAAGGAGAAAACAGGGGCAAAAUUGGAAACUUAACAAAUUAAACAUAUAAAACAAAGACAAAAGUGAAAAAUCUAGAGAUCUGUUCACAAUUUAUCAGCAAAAAUGCCAUAGGAGGUCUGAAAGAAGCUGGUUUUUCAUAUAUUUGAAUCAUGUAAGUUUAAUUCUUGAUUAUUUCUUCUAAUUUUUGUGAUUUUGAUACUUUUACAAUUAGGUCCAACUAAUUAUUUCAUUAGUUUUUGAUUUCAUGGCUGAUUUUGAAAGUUACCAUUGAUGAGUGUUGGAUUUUUAUGAUGAAUAAACAUGGAAUUAAAGCUUUAAUUUUGUUAUAUGAUGAUUUUAUUAAGUAAUUUUGAUAGAAAUUGAUUUUUGGGACCUAAUUGUGAAAAAGUUUGGAAUUAGGGUUUGGUGUUGCGGUUUUGAAUAUGAAAGGCUAUGUAGUAGUCUAAAAUAGUUGGAAAAGGUGUUAAUUGAGAAAAAUUAGAUCAAUUGAGGGGUUAAUUGAGUAGGACCAAAUUGUAAAAACUGUAAAGUUUGAGGUAAAAGUGUAAUUUCGAAAAUUUAAGGGCAUAAAUUGUGAAGUGAAUUAGAAUAGAAUUAUAUGCUGAUGAAUGAAUAAAUUUGUAUUUUAGAUCGAGAACCCGAAGCAAGCCGAGGAAAAGAAAAAGUAGUUGAUUAGUCCCUGAACUUUUACAAAUUCUGCAAAUCGACCCAGGUAAGUUCAUAUGGCUGAAAUUUAAUGAUUAAAUGUUAAUUUCAUGAAUUAUGUAAUGUAUGAUGAAAUGUAUUUAGUGUUGAAAUGAGAGUAAAAUAAAAAUGCGAAAAUCGAAUAAAUGAUCAAAUUAAGCGGAACGCCGGAUUUGAGUACUUCUGAUCAAGAGACAAAGUGAUAAGUGGUAGCUUUAGCUACACUUAUCUGAUCAAGUGAAAAAGUGAUAAGUGCUACACUUAUCUGAUCAAGAGACAAAGUGAUAAGUGGUAGCUUUAGCUCACUUAUCUGAUCAAGUGAAAAAGUGAUAAGUGCUAUACUUAUCUGAUCAAGUGACAAAGUGAUAAGUGGUAGCUUAGCUACACUUAUCUGAUCAGGGCCAAAUGAUAAGUGAUCAUACGUAAGACCAUAGUUAUACUAUGGCCAAGUGAAAGUGAAGUACUCAAUUUUCCGUAACCGUUCCUUAAUUUUGAUCAAGGAUGGUAAGUGACAAAUAGGCCCAAAGAAAUUAUGGUAAAAGAAUAAGUAGUAGUGAGUUUAUACCAAGGAACUCUCCAAAGAUUGUGGUUGACAAGUAAACUUAGUAAUGGUGUAUAUUGUAUAAGUGUACAAAUGUUUGGUAAGAUUUAUGUUUGUGCCUAUGAACUUACUAAGCUUUUCUAUAAGCUUACAUGUGUGUGUUUAUUGUUUUUCUAGAUUAACGUAUUUAUACAUUCGGAGGAUCGGAUCUACUUCGAGAAUCACACUAUCCAGAUAUACUCCGGUAGAUUUUGUUAAACAACUUUUUGGAUUUAUAUGGCAUGUACAGAGAAUUGAAGUAAAAAGUAAUAGAAUGAAUGACUGAGUAUGCAAAGUAAAUUUGAAUGUGAUGGUUGUGUUAGAUAUUGAAAAAUACAUGUUUUUAGUUUGAAAUGGUUGAUUGGCUGAACUUCGUUAGUAUUCAAGUGAAGUAGUUGAAAUACUGGAAUUGGUUGUGAUUUGAAAUUUGCAGGGAAGGUUAGAUAAAUAUAAAGGGGUUAUAUUGAUUUUUUUUUUAAAUUUCAAUGGAAUAAUUUUUGGACAGCAGCAUUGAUGUAACUUUUAAAAAUCACCAAAAAUAGUGGAAAUAGAAUUAGAAGUUGAAUGAGAUAUGAAAUUAAAUCUGAAUGAGUCUAAUUUCACAUGAAAGAAGUAGAAUAAGAAAAAGAGUUAUAUAUUUUUAGAUAUUUGAAUUUUAGUGAAACAGGGCAAGAAUGUUUUUGAAGUCCCCUGUUCUGACUUUAGAAAUUUAGUAAAAAUUGUACAAAAGGAAUUAUGAAUUAUAAUUUAUAUGUUUAAAUUCCGUAAUGAGUAUAUUUUAAGUAGAAAUAAUUGGAACCACCAUAUGAAGUCUUUGCAAUGAGAUAAUUGAAUUUUAGUGACAAGAGGUCAGGAUAGUCAAUUAGUGAAAUAGGGGAGACUUCAACUAAUAAACUGUAUUAAUUUGCUAAACCAAAAAUUCUGAAAAAUUUAUGGUGAAUAUACAUAUGAGUCUAGUUUGAGGGAAAAUUUACGGAUCUAAAUUUUUAGUUUCGUAUCUUGAGUUAUAAUUAUUUUAGUGACUACUGCGCAUGUGGACAGCUUUGUUGUGAAUGGUGAAAUUAAUUUUUAAAGUAAAUUUUUAUGCCCCGAACUUUUAAGUUCAGUCAAGUAACGCCUUAUGCUCGACUCCGGCAACCGUCUUGGGUAAGGGGUGUUAUAAAUAAUUAUUCUUAAAUUCAUACAUUCUUUGUAUAUUAUUUUGUACCUACAAUAGGUCCCUAGAUAUUAACAACAUGAGUGACGUUGCUACAGACUCAGAAUUUCCUUUUAAACAAGACAUGUGUUUAGAGGGAUCCCAUGGCUUUGAAGAUGACGUAGACUGUGGCUUAUCUCUGAAUUUGUUAAGGAUGGUAAAACAAGAGGAGAAGCAAAUCCUACCUCACAAGGAAUCAAUGGAAAUUGUGAGCUUAGAAGGGGGAAAAGAGGUGAAGAUUGAGACUAACAUUGCCACAAAGACAAAGCAUGACCUCGUUGAGUUACUCCAAGAAUUUAAAGAUGUCUUCGCAUGGUCAUACCAGGAUACUCCCGGGUUAAGUACUGGCAUUGUAGUACACUACCUUCUUAUAAAAGAAGAUUGCAAGCCAGUUUAGCAGAAACUCUGAAGGAUGAGGCCUGAUAUUGUGCUAAAAAUAAAAGAAGAAGUUAAAAAGCAAUUUGAUGUUGGGUUCUUACAAGUGGUUAAAUAUUCAGAAUGAGUAGCCAACAUCGUCUCAGUCUCUAAAAAAGAUGGGAAAGUACGAAUGUGCAUAGAUUACAGAGACAUGAACAAGGCCAGCCAAAAAGAAAAUUUCCCAUUGCCUCACAUUGACACUUUGGUGGAUAAUACAGUAGGCUACUCACUGUUUUCCUUCAUGGACGACUUCUCUGGAUACAACCAGAUAAAGAUGCAUCCCAAAAACAUGGGAAAGACUACAUUCGUGACCCUAUGGGGAAUGUUUUGCUAUAAAAUGAUGUCAUUCGGAUUAAAGAAUGUGGGAGCGACGUAUCAAAGGGAAUGGUAACCUUGUUUCAUGACAUGAUGUACAAGUAAAUCGAGGUUUAUGUUGACGAUAUGAUUGCAAAAUCCAGAACAGAAGAGGAACAUGUGUAGGCCCUAAGAAAAUUAUUCUUAAGACUGAGAAAGUUCCAGCUCAAGCUUUCCAACGAAAUGCACAUUCAGAGCUAGGUUAGGAAAGCUGUUAGGCUUCACAGUUAGUGAAAAAGGAAUCGAGAUCAACCCAGAUAAAGUCAAUGCGAUACGAGAUUUACCUCUACCAUGCACUCAGAAGGAAGCUCGAGGUUUCCUAGGAAGACUGAAUUACAUUGCUCGAUACAUUUCACAACUAACCGAAAAAUGUGACACCAUAUUAAAAUAAAAAUAGAUUAAAUUGUAAGUAAAACAUAAUUUAAACAUAUGAAUACAUCAAAUUAAUAAUACUAAAUGAAUACAGUUAUUUAUGAUGAUGUUGUUGCCAAUUCCUAAUUUGGUGUCUAGUUAAUUUGUGACAUCAUAAAUUUAAGUGAUAAAUUUAAGGUUUUAUGUAUUGAUGUGGAUUCAAAUAUCACCAUAAUUUUUGUAAAUAAAAAACUAAUAAGAUAACUUAUAUUAAGUACGAAAGGGUAUUUUUAUAAUUUCUCUAAUCGAGUUGGUGCCCGGUUGACUCAUGACACUAACUCAAUCAGAAGCUUUAAUAAUAAUAUAGAUAUUCAUGUUAAAAAAACAAAAAAAAAGUACUUUAGUUCCAAAUAAUUAUAUAACAAGUAAAUUUAUAAUUGAUGAAUAAAUUUAUAAAUAAUAUAUUUAUAUGAUCUAAUAUAUUAUAUUUAUAUUAAUUAUAUAUCAUCUACAAACUUUGAAGAUCAAUUUAUUAAGUAAAAAUGAAAUUGUUAACACUAAAUCAAUUUUUAGAUUUUGUAUAGAUGAUUUAGUGAUGAUAAAAACAUUAUUAACACUAUUUUUUAAUUAACAAAAAAUUAGUGAUAUAUUUAAAUUAUAUUUAUCAUUUAUUAUUUUUAAUAAUAUUUUUUAAUUAUAUGAAGUAAAAUUAUAUUGUAUACUAAAUAUGGUACAUAUACUCUAAUUAUAACUUGAAAUUUUAUUAUAUAAAUUAAUAUAAAUUUGAAUAACAAAAUAAAAAAAAACUAAUUAGAAUAAUUUUAAAAAACAUUAUUUAAAAGUAGUUAAAAAUCACGUGCAACAGGUGAGAUCAAUGGUCUUUAGAGAAGAAAUGUUGAAGAUCAAAGUUGGAAUCUGGCCUAUAAGGCCUUUAAUUGCUUUAAUAUUAAGCAGUUCCAAACCAAGAAGAUUACCGAUUUCCUCAGGAAUUUGACCUGCACACAUGGUCGAAAAAUCAAUGUGUCAAACUACCUAUUUUGUUAGCAUAAGUCAAAGAGGUUUUCUUUUCUAUUCUACAUAAUUUGCAGAUGUUAGAUUUUAAUAUUUUUAAGCAUAUUUGUUUUCAUCAAAUUAACUAUUUUGAACUAUUUUGCCUUGAAUGAAAUAAAAUGCUCUUACUUUUGUUAUCUAUUACUAAUCAAACUCUUUUAUAAAAAAAAUACUUUAAACUAAAGAAACCAAGAAAAUUCAAUACCUUCUAGGUUAUUCAACCCCAAAUAUAAUUCUUUGAGUCGUGUCGGAUUUCCAAUACUUCUUGGAAUGAUCCCCAUCAAUUGAUUAUAGGAAAAUGACAAAAUUUUAAGGUUGUUGCAUUUGCUUAUACUUGACGGAAUGUUACCAUAUAAUUCAUUCCGACUCAAGUAAAGCCCUUCAAGCUUGGAAAGAUGUGACACAUAUCAUUAGGCAAGCUACCUGAUAGGCUAUUGUUGGAGAGAUCAAUGGCCUUCAGAGAAGAAAUGUUGAAGAUCGAAGUUGGAAUCUGACCUGUAAGGCCUUUAAUUGCUUUAAUAUUAAGCAGUUCCAAACCAAGAAGAUUACCGAUUUCCUCAAGAAUUUGACCUGCACACAUGGUCGAAAAAUCAAUGUGUCAAACUACCUAUUUUGUUAGCAUAAGUCAAAGAGGUUUUCUUUUCUGUUCUAUAGUAAUUUGGUGAUGUUAGAUUUUAAUAUAAUUCAGCACAUGUUUUUCAUCAAAUGAAAUAAAAAGUUUUUCCUUUUGUUAUCUAUUACAAAUCAAGCUCUUUUAUUAAAAAAAUACUUUAAAUUCAAGAAAUCAAGGAAAUUAAUUACCUUCUAAAUUAUUAAACCCCAAAUAUAAUUCCUGGAGUCGUGUUAGAUUUCCAAUACUUCUUGGAAUGAUCCCCAUAAAUUGAUUAUGGGGCAACAACAAAUUUUUAAGGAUGUUUCAUUUGCCUAUGCUUGACGGAAUGUUACCAGAUAACUCAUUGCUAUGCAAGUGAAGCCCUUCAAGCUCGGGAAGAUGUUGACACAUAUCAUUAGGCAAACUACCUAAUAGGCUAUUCCUGGAGAGAGCAAUAGUCUUGAGAGAAAAAUGUUGAAGAUCGAAGUCGGAAUCUGAUCUGUAAGGCCUUUAAUUGCUUGAAUAUUAAGCAUUUCCAAACUAAAAAGAUUACCGAUUUCUUCAGGAAUUUGACCUGCAGACAUAGUCGAAACAUCAAGGUGUUAAAUUUCCUAUUUUGUUAGUGUAAAUCAAAGAGGCUUUUUAUUUUUUUUCGUUAUGAAAUAAUAUGGAUAUGUUCGAUUCUAAUCAUAUUUAAGUAUAUAUUAGUUCUUGAAAGAAUGAGUUCUUAUUUUUGGUAUUUAUAUUGCAAAUAUAUAUUUUUUUAAAUUUAAAAGAAGGGAGGGGGCAAAUGUGUUUAAACUAAAGACAUCAAGGAAAAGGCAUACCAAGUAUAAUUGUUUAAGUUGUGUCAAAUUCCCAAUGCUUUUUGGAAUGAUCCCACUAAAUUGAUUAAUAGACAAUUCCAAAAUUUGAAGGUUGCAGCAUUUGUCUAUACUUGAUGGAAUAGAACUUGAUAAUUCAUUUCUACUCAAGUAAAGCUCUUUCAGCUUGGGAAGAUGGACACACAAAUCAUCGGGCAAGCCACCAGAAAGACUAUUAUCACAAAAAUGAAUCCUUUUCAAAGAAGAAAUGUUAAAGAUGGAAGAUGGAACCUGGCCAGAUAAUUGAUUGAAUCCCAAGUUCAAGAUCUCUAGAUUGGACAAGUUGACAAGUGUUUGAGGGAUCGUGCCUGUGAAGUUAUUAUUUCUCAUUUCCAACCUUUGAACUCUGUGCAAGUUCCCAAGCCAUGGUGGAAUUUCCCCAUUAAGACGGUUGUAGCUUAAUCGAAUGAUCCUCAAACGAUGCAAUUGGCCUAAUUCUUUAGCCAGAUGGCCGUAGAAAUUGUUGUUGCUCAAGUCGAUAGAAAAUAGAAAUGAAAGAUUUCCAAGGUGUGGAGGGAUAGUACCCCUAAGAUUCAUGUUUGUAAGAUUAAUCAAAGCUACAACUCUUUCAUGGAUGAUGCCACAAGAAACACCAACCCACUUACAGACAGAGGUAGAGUUCGUCCAAUUGUUUGCCAACACAUUUUGAGGAUCGACAAUGCGAUCUUUAAACUCAAAGAGUGCAAACUGAUCGGAGUUGAGAUUCCGGACUGUCAUAGCCAAGGAAACAAUAGAACAUUGUAUGAAUAAAAGUGAAAGAAGAUGAAAGCAAGUGUUGUAGUUCAUGAUGGCAAGACGAAAUAAGCCAGGAAAAGGGAAGUUGAAUUGAUGAAGAAAUAGCCAGCCAACAUGCUUAAAUAGGCUUCAACCCUUGCACACUUCUCAUACAUAAAGUUCGCUGCCAUUACAACAAGAAAACUCAUAUCUCCAUUCGUACCUAUCCAUACUUUAUUUGACUAACUUUUCCCUAACAAGUGUUCAGUAAGGAGAUAAAUCAGUUUGGAGCUAUUCACCGGCUUCUCCAAUCUUGGUUUCAAACUCCUAACCCAUCAAUUCACUUUAAUUGAAACGAUAUACACGAGUCUUUCGGCUUAUAUUUUUAAUUUAAUUUUUGUUACUUUUCAUAAUAUUUUUUGAGAAAUCCAAAUAUUCCAGUCUGAAAUUUCUUCAUUGCCACGUCUAUCUCCUGGGUAAGUCCGUGGUUAGGCAGCCCACUUUGGGAGCAGGAUUGUAAUUGUAAUUCUAUCCGACUCAUUUUACUAUUUAGAAAUAUAAAAGUAAUAUUAUAUUAUUUUUUAUAUUUUUAUAAAUUUAAUUUUAAUUAUAAUUUUUAAACAAUAAAACGAGUCAUUUGUAUUUGCCUAGUCUAAAUUGAAUCAGGAGUCAAAAAAAUUUUAAUCAUAAUUUACUAUUAUUUUAAUUAAUUAAAAUUUAACCUACUACAACUAGUAGUUGCAGAAAAAAUGUCAUUCCUUUAGAAAAACGAAAAUCCUUUAGAAAAAUGAGAACUUAUGAAGCAUUCAAUAAGAGUCAUUGGAAUAAAUGGUAACGAAAUCAUAAUUCAAUAUAAAGCUAAAAAAUGUACCAAUCUAUAUAAAUAAUGUAAGAUUUGUGAUACCUAAAUUAUUAUAUUUUCCAUAAAUAUAUGAAGAUAUUUUAUUAGGAAAUAAUUUUAUAUAUAAAAUUUUUUAUUUUCUUUUGAUAGAAAUUUAAUUAUGUUAUCUGUAGAAAAAAAUAUUUAUAGAAAUAUUAUUAGUAGAAAAUCAUAAAUUUGUGUGUGGCAAAAAAAAUUCACCACCAAGAAAGGGGCAAAUUAAACAACUUGAAACAAGUCAUUGGUUGUUUAAAAUAUUAGAUAAUAAUUUCAGUGAAGAAUCAUUAAAAUUAUGACAAAAUAACCCUAGAUAUUGUAGUAUUAAAUUGGAAAAUCUCAAUAAUAUUAUUAGAGUAAAACCUAUGAUCUAUCUAAACAAGAUAUAGAAGAUUUUGAUAUACAAAUUAAGGUUAGAAAUCAUGCGGAAAUAAAAAAGAAAAAAAAGCUAGUAUGGUCAUUAAUUAUAAAAGAUUAAAUCAAAAUAUUAUUUUUUUAUAGUUACUUGAAUUAAUCAGGCUAAACAAACAAAAUAUUUUAGUAAAUUUGACUGCAAAUCAGGAUUCUAGCAAAUCAUGAUAACAGAAAAGUCCAAACCUUUAACGGCUUUUAGUGCACCCAAUGGACAUUACCAAUGGAAAGUGAUGUCAUUUCAAUUAUGUGAUGCACCACAAAUCUUCCAAAGACGAAUGGAUUUUAUAUUUAAUAAAUAUAAAAAAAUUCUAUGUAGUCUACAUAGAUGAUAUUUUUUAUAUUUUUAGAUACACUAGAAUUACAUAAGAAACAUUUAAAUAUUAUUUCUUAAGAAUUCAUAAAAUAUAGAAUCAUAUUAAACCCUAAAAAUAUAGAGUUAGAAAAAAGAGAGAGAAUUUUUAUAAUAGUGGAAAUAAAAAAUUGUCCUCAAAAGAUUGAAGAAAAAAAGAACUUCCAACAAUUUCUAAUAUAUUCCUCCCAAAUUUUCAGUUUCAAUUUUAUUACAGAAUUUCUUUGCCGACAAUAAGAAAUUAAGAGCGCUCUUUAAGUUGAAUAUAGUCCGUCAGAUAUGGCUAUCUAUAACAUGGAACCUUUGGUUUUCAAGCUGAAUAGGAGAAUUGAUUCACUUGAUAAGUAUGAAAAAUUGAAACUGCUAAAUUUAAGUGCACUAACUCUGGAUAUCAUCAUUAUUUUUCUGUACAUUAAAGUACCUGUUUGAUAUGCGAUUUCUGCCUCAAACUAUCAACAUCUUUAACAUCCUUUUGCUAUAGUUAGCAUGGGUACUUCCUUUUAGAUUAACAGUUAGGUUUGAACUGUGAAUUAGAUUUCUGUGGCUGCUGGGAUUGAAGAAGUUAGUAUGCGAAUGACAUUGGACAAAUUUGGCAAAGUCUUCUCCAUCAGUGAAGAAAACCCCUUGGCGUAUGAAAAAUGUUCACCAUCUUAGACAUUUGUUUUCUUAUUGUAAGAAUAUUUUUAACAUUGUAACUUUUAACAUUAUUGUAAGAAUAUUUUGAAUUAUACUUCAGUUAUCAAUUUAUAUCAUAUAUCUUUUGUUGAAUUUGAAGUAUAAUUUAUAUUUGCUGUUUUUGGUUAGAUUUCAUGCUAUAGGAAGGGUUGUAUAUGGAUAGAAAUUGAAUGUUACAAAUCUGCCAAAGUUAGUGGCGUUUUUUCAUAAGAGCUGCUAAAGAAUGCUAUUUUUGGCGGUGUUUGUAAUAAAAGAGCCGCUAAAGGUCAUGUUCUUUAGCGAUGUUUGUGGGUAAAGCGCCGCUAAAGAUCAUGUUCUGUAGCUGUGUUUGUGGAUAAAGCGCCGCUAAAGAACAUGACCUUUAGCAGCGUAUUUUCACAUAAACGCCGCAAAAUUUAGCGGCUUUGUCUAUAGCGACUUUUUUUGCAGCGCUUUAAGUUUUAGCGGCGCUUUUAGGCCUAAAAAAGGGCCGCUAAAAGCCUGUUUUGCUGUAGUGAGCAUAUUUACAUUUUCGUCCCAAUUUCAACUAACACCCCAUCUAUUUCCCACUUCCCUUUUUCGGGCAAUUUCAACUAACACCUUCAUAUCAAACAUAACUAUUUUUCAAUUUUUCUUCUUUAUUUCAUUAAUAAAAUUAUCAAUCUAUUUGUUUUUAAAUAUAUAAUUUCAUUAAUAUUUUUUAAAUUAUAAUAUAAGAGUUGUUGUUUAUUUAUAGUUUUAUUACAUUAUUUACUCUCUCUUUUCUAUCAAGUUUUUUAAAUUAUAAUAUAAGAUUUAUUUUAUCAAUUUGUGGCUUAUCCAGUAUUCAUCUAUUUUAAUAAUAACUUGAGUUCCAGUCAUUAUCAUACCAGAAAGAGUUCCAUUUAUUCUUUAUCGUAAAUUUUAUAAAAAAAUAUACAUUUUAUUAUAAUACUAUAUGUGUUACGAAUAAUAUUUUAUUGUGGAUGCCCAUAAUUUUCAAAGUUGUAACCUCUAAUGUAGUAACCUUAAUGAAAUUAUGAGGCUUUUAUAUUGUAAUCAAGCCUCUAUUUAUUCUUUGUAACUUAAACAGAAGCAUAUUUUCUAUUAUAUUGAUAUUUUUUAUAGAUAUAUAUAUAUAUAUAAGGAAUCAAAUAAAAAGUUAUUUACCUUUCUAUUAUAUUGAUAUUUUCUAUUUGAUUUGUUCUUUUCUUUCACUAUUCCAUAAUAUAUUAUCAGUACGAUUUUAACCAAGAGUAACAUGUUAUUAGAUUGUGUCAAAAUUUUGUUGAGAAUCAUUAGAUUGUUUCCUUUUUCUUCUAUUUAGCCCCAAAUUGCACCCCUACACAAAAUUCAACAAAAACAUGGAAAAAUUAGUGGUGCACUCUCAUAAAUUAACCAAUUUAAUUACAUAAAAUAUGUAACUUUAGCAUUUUAUCAAUCAUGUUCUUUAGCGGCAUUUGUGGGUAAAGCGCCGCUAAAGGUCAUAUUCUUUAGCAGCGUUUGUGAUAAAAGUGCCACUAAAUAUCAUGUUCUUUAGCGGCGUUUGUGGAUAAAGCGCCGCUAAAGAACAUGACGUUUAGCAGCAUUUUUUUACAUAAACGUUGUAAAAUUUAGCGGCGUUGUCUAUAGCGACGUUUUUUGCGGUGCUUUCAAAUAGUUUUAGCGGCGCUUGUAGGCCUAAAAAAAUGCCGCUAAAAGUCUGUUUUGCUGUAUGAGCAUAUUUACAUUUUCGUCCCAAUUUCAACUAACACCCCAUCUAUUUCCCACUUCCCUUUUUCAGCCAAUUUCAACUAACACCUUCAUUUCAAACGUAAUUGUUUUUCGAUUUUUCCUCUUUAUUUCAUUAAUAAAAUUAUCAAUCUAUUUGUAUUUUAAAUAUAUAAUUUUAUUAAUAUUUUUUAAUUAUAAUAUAAGAGUUUUUGUUUAUUUAUAGUUUUAUUAUAUUAUUUACUCUCUUUUUUCUAUCAAGCUUUUUAAAUUAUAAUAUAAGAUUUAUUUUAUCAAAUGGUGGCUUAUCGAGUAUUCAUCUAUUUUAAUAAUAACUUGAGUUCCAAUCAUUAUCAUACCAGAAAGAGUUCCAUUUAUUCUUUAUCGUAAAUUUUAUAAAAAAAUAUAUAUUUUAUUAUAAUACUAUAUGUGUUAGGAAUAAUAUUUUAUUGUGGAUGCCCAUAAUUUUCAAAGUUGUAACCUCUAAUGUAGUAACCUCAAUGAAAUUAUGAGGCUUUUAUAUUGUAAUCAAGCCUCUAUUUAUUCUUUGUAACUUAAACAGAAGCAUAUUUUCUAUUAUAUUGAUAUUUUUUUAUAGAGAUAUAUACAUAAGGAAUCAAAUAAAAAGUUAUUUACCUUUCUAUUAUAUUGAUAUUUUCUAUUUGAUUUGUUCUUUUCUUUCACUAUUCCAUAAUAUAUUAUCAGUACGAUUUUAAUCAAGAGUAACAUUGUAUUAGAUUGUGUCAAAAUUUUGUUGGACUUCAAGUAUUGGAAUUUAAUUGUUUAAGUUAAGAAUCAUUAGAAUCAAUGGCUAUUUGAGAUAUGCUUGAGGAUGAUCUCAUUCUAUUCAUCACAAAGGUGGAGGUUAGAAAAUCUUUAUGUUUAAACAUUUAUAGCUUUAAAGUUAUUUUAACCUCUUAUUGUGACCUUAUAAUAUUUUGUAAUUUUUUGUAUUAUGGUAUAUAAAAAAAAUCUAACCAUAGUGAUUGAUUAGUAAUAUGAAUUUGUUAUUUGUUAUGUUUAAUAUAUAUUUUAUUUAUACUUAUUCAUUUUAUUUUUAUAUGAGUAAAUGAAGUGUUUGAAGAUUCGAAAUUUUUAUCAUCCAAGUUGAAAAUAAGUGCAAAAGUGUACAUUAUUUAAAAUAAAUUACGCAUUCAUUAAUGUUAUAUGAUAAAAUCAUUACAUGUUCUAAAGAACUAAUAUUGCAUCAAACUGUAAAAAGCUCUUGAAGAGUUAAUAUUUUACCUCCUUGUGAUACAAAAUCAUAUACAAUAUGAUAUUAUUUUUCAAAUCGAGUAGAUAUAUGUUGAGGGAAAUCUUUAUGUGGUUUACAUUAAAACCAUGGAUAGAAAUGACAUGAGAUACUCGUGUAUUUUUAUUAUAAAUAUUCCUUGAAGGAAGACACUUCACUUGUAUGAUUGACAUAUGAGAUAGUGGCAAGAAGUUCAUAGUGUUGGUAUGGUCGUCUAGAUCAUCUCAAAUCAAUAAUGAUGCAAAAUAAUUUGAAGAGAAUUUAUAUGAUUUUAUUGAAGAAUGAGAAGAUAUUUUCAUUUUGAUAAUUGUCAUCAAUACUAGUUCUUUGGAAAAAAAAUAUUGAACUAACAUAAAGUUAGAGGUUGGUUGCAUUUUUUGAUGAUAUCCAAAUAAUAUAUGAGCUCAUGUAUCACAUGUAUGCAACCCAAAGUUUACAGUAUUAUUUCUUGAAAUAAUUUGAUUCUACACAAUCUCUAUAGUAUGCAAUUUGUGCUAACAACGUUGGUGCAUUAUAUCCUAAGCUUGAUUUUCGUAGUUUUAGCUGAGAUAAUAUUAAGUUGUCUAUGCCUAUAUAUGUUAUACUUAAUGGUUAGCAAAAUUGUGCCUCCAUUUAAUUGCUUAACCAUUAAUAUAAGAAUAACUUUAAAAUAAGCAUGUAAUUUUAUUUGCAUAGAGUCAACAUGUAAGAAACAUUUGCCCCAUGAGAAUUGGCUUUCAUUUAUAAGCCAAUAGGUUUCAUAUGACUAUUUGGAUGUAAAAUAUCUAUUUUAUAUUCCACCAUAAUGCACUAAGAUGGUCCAUCAAGUAUGAAGUUGAGAAAAUUUAGAAUUUUUAUUUGAUGGUAAAAGUUGAAAAGAGAUAUAUACUUAUAAUUUUGAAAAAAAUAGUCAUGUUGCAAAUUUUUCUCAAUAUUAGGGGGAGACAAGUUGGACAAAUAAGGAUAAUUAUGUCAUCACUUUUUGUGAUCCCUCACUAAUAUUAUGUGCACAAAGUUUGAAGGAAAAAAGUAUUUGCUAGACAUGUUUAGUGAUGACACUUAGAGAUUGUAUAUACUAGAUGAUACAUAUACCAGCUAAAAUGUUCCAAAUAAUUAUGAGUCCUAGAAGGACAUAGUGAUAAAAAUAAUUUUUGGGCACGCUAGAAGGAUAAAAAACUAGUUCAUUCUAUAAAUCAAAAAAUUCUUGAAAGAAAAGAGUAAGAAAUGAAGCUGGCCACACAUUAAAGGAAACGAGUACUCAUGAAGAGACCUAAGGCAUAACUUUUAAUAAAACCCCAAAAGAGGUUCAAUACAUGGAAUUAUGAAUAUAAUAAGAUAUCUCGAUUAGUUAUAUCAUAACUAAAGAUGAUGGGGUUGAUAAAAGGAAAUUGUUGUUAACAACGAUAAUCUAAGUAGAACAUUUCAAUAUUAUGGUAAAAUGAGUAUUUUGAAUGAAAAUAUACUUGAAAGUAUUUAGAUGGGAACAACUCAUCAAAAUAAAUAGACGUUUCUAUUAUAACUUAUGAAAUGUGUCUCGGACAUGAAGUCCAAACAUUCGACAGGUGUAAAGCCAAGUGGAGUAUAUGUUAGCAUAAUAGUGAAAAAAUACAAAUCAUAAUAUAUAAAAUUGACUUGUAAGACAAACUUUCCCAAGACACUUGAUUUUGAUUAUGAAAAAUGAUUAAUUUGUGAUCUUAUCAAUUGAACAUACUUUGUAUAAUCAACAAAUUAUUAAUUAACCUCAUUUAACCAAUUUCCUUCAACACAUUUCAAAUCAAAUUAAUGUGUUGAGCACGCCCUUAACCCUUUUUCUUGAUUCAUUGCAUAGUCUAUUUCCAAGUACCAUAAUCAUCAACAUUUCAAUAUAUAAAGUCAUAACAUAAUGAAUCAUAGUUAGAAUUUUUUUUACCCUAUUAACCAAGUAUGGAACAAAAAUAAAAACCUAAUUUGUCAAGCUCAUUCAAUCAGCUUAUAUAUUAUAAGAAGAGCCUAAGUAUAAAUCCUAUACAUGAUUUCAAAUUCAACUAUUUAUAUUUGAGAUUCAAUUUAAAAUUCAUACUGAAAUUAUCAAAUUAACUCGUAAGCUACUCACGCUAAACAUUAAGGUACUCGAAUUCAAGUGGCUAGAUAUCAUAAACACUUUUAGCUUGUAAAACUAUUUCUAAGGGUCAGCCCAGAAUCAUGGUUGAACCCAAAAUCUGGUAACAAAAAUUUAAUUGAGCCAUCAGCCUAAAACAAAAAAGGCUUAAAAGGUUGGCACCCGAACAAUCAAAGAUAAACACCACCAUAUGCCACUCCCUGAAUCCGAUACAUACAAUAACACCCUUCACCACUUUUAUUCUUCUCCUUUUUUUUAACCUCAAUUUGGAUGGUCGCAUUUCUCUUUUUAGUGCUUUAUAGGGUUUGGGCUUUCAGAAUCCUCAGAGAUGCAAUUCAUGGAUCCCUCUAAGAAAUGCAAGCUUGAUGAAAAUGGUAUUAUUUCAACGGCAUCAGAACCUGACCCAAUCACCAAACUAACCCCACAAGAUGGCCGCAAGCUAAUCGAGCAAUUUAUCGUCGAUCAACUCCUUGACGUCCUCCAAGAUGCUGUUUGUUGUCACCUUGAUGUUCUUUCCGCCGUACACUCUAUUGCCGAUCAAGAUCCAUCUCAAAGGAAGCUUUUCAUCCGUGGUUGGGUUGGGAUACUACAACCCAACCCAACCCACAUUAGCAUACUACCAUGCGGUAACUUCUAGUGAUUUCUGUCUGUAACAUUAGACAGGUUAACAGUUAAAUCGUUCAACUGAAAGAUUUCUUUGAAGGAAGAGGUCAAUUGAUUUUUUUUGGAAUCAUUGUGUACUCAGUUGCAUUUAAGACGGGUAUCAUUCAUAAAGUAUAUAUCUACAUCAAGAAUGGUAGCCUCUUAUAUUAUAUUCAUGUAUUUAUUUUGCAUCUUUAAUUAUAAUAGGAUUUUUUUUGUUUAUUUAUAGUUUUAAUUAUAAUAUUUUUUAAAUAUGCCAAAGUAAAUUAUGUACCAAUUUUAAACUUCUCCUAGGUAAUUUAACGUAAGGGCAUUUAUGUUAUUUUACCACUUAUGAUAAAACUAACCUAAUUUUAGAUCUAAGUGUUUACCAACCUUCUUUUAGUCAAAUUAUGCAAGCCUAAAAUUUUUAGCUUAAUUUGAGUUUGUUUACUAUGUCUAAUUCAAGUUUUAUUAUUAAGAACUAAAUUGUAACUUAAACAAAUUAGAAUACCAAUUUAAAGAGACAAAAAUUCAAAGCCCCAAAACCCACACGGGCAUGUGGGUAAGUGACACAGGCGUGUGGAAACUGGAGCUAUCACACACGGGUGAGUGGGACUGAAAAAUAUGAAAUAAAUUAAUCCAUUUAAAUUUCCAACAACCAUGCUAUACUACCAAACCAAAUAAUGUUAGAAGCUUUGAAUAGGGGCGAAUCUUAAAAAAAAUAGAAGAAUUAGAAUUAAAUUAUAAAAUUUUGAGAAGUUGUCAUGUAUUAAUUUAUUAUUUUUUAAAGGGUCUUAAUAGAUUUUUUUUCCCCAUUUUGGUUUGGCCAAUACCCCUGUCUGCCUCUUUCAAUUUGCUUCAACCCUUAGCCCAAUAUUCGAUUUGUUGUGGAAGUUUGACGCAUAAAAAUUCCUUUUUUAGAGGUUUAAAUUAUAAAUUUUUAUUAACAAAAUAUAAAAGAAAAAAACAUGUGUAGACAAGCCAAGAAACCUUUGGGAUCAUACAGGUGAUUUUGAGAUGUUCAUGGUUAUUUUGGUGGAGAGGGUAAAAAAGAAACAAAUGAUUCAUUAUAUAUGAUAUAAUUAUGAAAUUCAAGCCAUAUAUUGUAUGUUUCAUCCAUACAAAUUUCUUGUAGCAUUAAAUGACUCGUAGGCUUGCUGAAUUUCUUUGAAAGGCCCAAAGGCAAUUUAACAUUCACAAAAUAAUCUCUAAAUAGUGUAAAGACAAAUCAAAUCCACAGUAGCAUUAGAGUUGAUUAAGCUAAGCAUUGGCAAAUAUUACUUUGAUUUUGCAUGCAAUAUUGGCAAAACCCCCUCUUACAUUAGAAAAACAACAUAAUCCAUGAAACAUUGAUAGCCCAAUACAAAUUUCAUCGAGAAAAAAGUCUCUUUGUUUUGUAGAACAUGAUAGUAAAGAUGUGGAGUUUCGUUCUUCUUAUUGGCCUCCUUUAGUUUUCCUUGAUCAACAACCACUAGCCAAAAACACAAUUAGAUUAGAUUAUGAAUGAUACUUUCAACUAUGACAAUAUUAAAUACAAACCACUCUAAAUAACUCUAAAUAAAUGGAAAGCAGCAAAUUACCAGACGAGGCAAGCUAGCUCAAUUAAGACCAUUGUGUUAUACUUGUCUCUGAAUUGAAAAAUUUAGAAGGAAAUAAAGAGAAAGACUUAGAAAAUACUUGAAAACAGAAAAAAAAAUUAUGUCAUUUAAAAUAAAAAAUUUCUAUUCAAGCCAUUUAAAAUUUGUAAGAUUUUUAAAAUUUUAAAAUGAUAAAGGUAAAAUUGUACUUUGGCACCCCAAAAAUGAUAAAACUUUGAUUUAAUUAUUUAAAAAUUAUAAAAAUAUAGGCUAUUAAAAUGGUGAAAUUAUAUUUUUACUAUAGUAAAAAUUACAAUUUAAUUUCACCCCUAAAAGGAUUUUCUGGCUUCGCACCUAAUAAAAUCUUUGGCAAAAGACUAAAAUAAAAUUAUACCAUGAAUGGAAAAAGAAACUAAUAAAAUCCAAUCUAACAAAGAAAAUAACUUGAUGUCCAAAAGCUACCAUAAACCGUAAUUCAUGGGAAGGCUUGUUGCUUAUUUUAUUGGUUUCCAUUUUGAAAGAAGUUUGAAUUUUGAAGAGAGCCUACUACGUGAAAGCAAAAGAAAAAAAAAUAGUUUAUAUGAUUAAAAUUCCAGAAUAGAUUAAAAAUGUUGAAUUAAAGAUAAAAUUAAGUGUGAAUUAAUAACCACAAGUGUACUCUUUACUCACCAUCUCUGUUAAAAAUGUUGGAUGUUGUUUAGCAACCUUUGUUUGAUUUUCUUCAGCUCAACCACAACAUCUUUCAUAUCUUUUCUUUCUUCUGGUAACUCAGCUGAACAAUUCAAAGCCAACUCCAUGAUAGAUGAAAUACAAUUUGCUUUAACAACAAUGUACUCAUCCUCUCUUCUUAAUAAAUCAACAUCUGCAAUUUCUAUCGCUCCUUUAGGCAAUGAUCUUUCCAUCCAAUGCCUUAUACUCUCUUCUUCAACAAAAACCUUAUCAGUUGGCUUUUUCUUUGUGAAAGUUUCUAUAAGGACGAUCCCAUAACUAUAGACGUCAGAUUUUAUAGAAACAAUUCCUGCUGAUCCAAAUUCUGCAUUUCAAGUAUAAUUAGAACAUCAUUCAUCCUCAAUUAUUUCUAAAACGCUUAUUCAAAUAUCUAUCCACAUACACGUGAAACAAGAAUAUAAAAUACAAAUUAGGAAAAUAAUCAUACAAAAAUAAAAAAAAGAAUUCACCUGGUGCCAUAUACCCAAUAGUUGCAAGAGUCAUGGUUUGCUUCAUUACUUCACCUUCUCCCAACAAUUUGGCAACGCCAAAAUCUCCAACAUGUGCAACCAUGUCUUCAUCUAGUAAAAUAUUGCUUGGUUUUAUGUCACAAUGAAUUAUAGGUGUUGGAUGUCCAUUGUGGAGGUGUUCUAUAGCUACCGCAACAUCUAUCAUUAUGUCGACCCUUUGUAUGAUACCAAGGAAACAAUUUUCAGAAUGUAACCAUUUCUCAAGGUUUCCAUUAGACAUGUAAUCAAGCACCAAGGCUUUGAAGUCAACACUUGAGCAGUAAGUAAUGACCUUCACAAUAUUACGAUGAACUAUAUUAAGCAUAGCAUCACAUUCAAUGUCAAAACUCCUAAAUGCUCCCUCUGUUUGCAAAUUGAAAACUUUUAUUGCAACUUCCAUUCCAUCUGAAAGCCUCCCUUUAUAUACAUAUCCAAAACUCCCUGAACCAAGCGUAUUGCUUUCCUCAAAUCCAUUAGUUGCUCGUGAAAGUUCAGCAUGUGAAAUUCUUCUCAGUGUCUUCAAAGACAACAAAUCAUCUUUAACUGGUAGAGCUGUACUCCUUUGGCAUCUUCUAUACAUAAUAGUUAAGACUAUUAGUACUAGGACAAUACCAAUUGUUGGUAAACCAUACCUAAAAGCAUGCAAUAUAAUCAUUUGGGAGUUUUUGUGGAUGUCAUUUUUGCAAGGUGGGACUAGCAAUCUAGGUGGACCACAAAGUGCACAAUUAUUCAUGAAUGAUGUGCUAGAAAAGUUUGAAAAACAUCCUUUGCUGGGAAUUUCCCCUUCAAGUCUAUUGAAAGACACAUUAAAAUACUUUAGAUAUAAAAGCUUUUCCAAAGAUUUGGGAAUGACUCCAGAGAGAUUGUUAUUGCAUAAAUCCAAGAAUUCCAAACUAAUCAACCCAUCAAAUGAUUCAGGGAUAUGACCAUGUAGUAUAUUAUUUGAUAAAUCUAAUGAAACCAAAGUUUGAAGACCCCCAAAUGUGGAUAAGAUAUCGCCCAUGAGAAGAUUCCUUGAUAAAUUUAGUCUCAGUAGACUCCUAAAGUUUCCAACAUCAAUAGCAUGCGAAUUGUGAAGAUGGUUUGAUGAUAAAUCUAUUUCUAAGAUAUCUUUAAGAUUCCAUAAAGUUGAGGGUAUUGCGGAACUCAAUUUGUUGGAAUCUAACCAAAGAUAUCUCAAAGCAGAAAUAUUACCUAAACAAGAGGGUAUGGAUCCAUGCAGCUUAUUCAACCCUAAAUACAUCUUGAAUAGUCUCUCCAAACCACAGAGGCUUUCUGGGAUAGGCCCUUCUAAUUUAUUAGAGGAAAGAAAUAGACCUUGGAGAUUUAUCAUUCCUCCUAUUGAUGCUGGAAUCAAUCCACUUAAUUUAUUAUAGCCAAGUUGUAAAACCAACAUGUUGCUUAAGUUACCUAUUUCCAUAGGAAUAAUGCCUUGAAGCUCACACUCUGUGGCACGAAAGUAUUGAAGGGAUUUUGAAAGGUUCCCGAAAUAAGUAGGAAGAACGCCACUCAAUGGAUUUCCUGAAACAAUUAUUCUUUUCAAAUGCUUGCAAUUCGUCAAAGAAGAAAGAAAGCUCCACUCAUGAUCAGUAGCAGAUCCUGUGAUCAAAUUAUUGUUUACGAUUCCGAACCAUUCAAGGUGUCUUAAGCUGCCAAGCAUUUUAGGGAUUGGGCCAGAGAAUAAGUUUUCUGACAAGGAUAGAAUCUUAAGCAUGGAAGCAUUGGAGAUAGAGUUGGGAAUGUUUCCGCUAAGUUUAUUUCCC